RNAcentral lists this long non-coding RNA (55794 nucleotides) under Citrus maxima (pomelo). RNAcentral describes it as "long non-coding RNA (CMAX_LNC003977)". The record is from RNAcentral. Lineage: Eukaryota; Viridiplantae; Streptophyta; Magnoliopsida; Sapindales; Rutaceae.
AAUCACAAAAGCAGCAAUAUAACCAAGUUGUUUCUGUGUCUUCGUCCUCGUUUCACCAAACAGCAAGAACCCAUGGAAAAAAGAAAAGGGGGAAGCUUUUGGAAUGACAGAUUUCAAAUCUAAGCACAAUCUCUGUCCGUUCCUUUAAUUUCUCUUUAUCUACAUAGAUUUAUCAUCACAUCACCGAUUACAUAACGAUAGUUAAUUAAUAUUCUCUCUUGCCCUGUAAACAAAUCUUAGAGAAAAUACAAUUAAUUAUCUCUCAAAAACAUUUAAAUGACCAUCGAUUAAUUCAUCAUCACCCAGAACAAACUGGCUCUUCCUUUAUAUUUUCCAACAACGGCUUCCUUAACCUACAUGAAACUAAUCUAUACUUGAACUCUGGCACCGAAAAGUACCCAUCAUGAACACCCUCCAAGGAAAAUGAUGUUUCCAUUAAGAGAACAAAGAGGAAGAAGCAGUUGGAUUAAGAGAACGAAGAGGAAGGAAGAAGCAGCUGGUUAUGUUUGCUGGUUCUGUUUUUUUCACUCUUUACGUUGGCAAAGGAAAAUGAUGUUUGUGUUAUUAAGGGUUCUGCAGCAACGAAGAGGAAAGGAAGAAGCAGCUGGGUGAAGAAAACGAAGAGGAAAAGUUCUGUUUUUUCACUUUAUACAAACCAAAAUAACAUCGUUUCACAGCAAAUUAGAAUGAGAAAAAUAGGUGCCAAAACGACGCCGUUCCAAUUGUUUCGGGGUUUGACCCGGGGCAAACAUCAUUUUCCUAAAAUUAAUUGGUCAUUUUAUUUGGUGAUGAUGAGUUUGUUGUCAGUUUGUGAGUUUGAUGCAGUGAAACGCUUAACGCUUUCUUGUGAUGUGCAGUGUUGUGAAAGACAAUUACUAAUAUUACAAUGAUUAUAAUUUUUAAAUAAAUAUAAAUUUGGUGUAAAUAAAUGUAAAGAAAAAAAUAUAAUAAAUUUUACAUGGUUCGGCAUAAAACUUACGUCCAUGAUUAAAAAUUGAAAAAUAAUUUUAUUAAUAAUGAAAUUUUACAAAAGUGAAAAAACUCUCAAAAAACUAAUACCCAAUUCACCCAAAUUCUCUACUAAAACUCACUUGGAAAUUUCACAAAUUUAGAUGCACUAACAAAUGAGGAAUUGCCUUUUAUUUUAUAGAAAAAAUGGGGUGCACUAUUACACCAACCCCAACAUAAUUGUCAAUAAAACUUAGGCGCCUACCUUAAGAAUUUGUCUUCAAAUUUGUCUUUCCAAUGUGUAUGCAAGUUGGUCAAUUGAUGCUAGGAAUUUGUCUUCAAAUUUGCCUUUCCAAAGUUGAAUGCAUACAUGUGUAUUUGAAUUCCAAUUUUGAAUUUUUCAACACGCAGGAGAGAAGCCAGUGAUGACGAUGAGGACGAAAAACAUUAUUUUGUUAUUUAAAAUAAGACUAUCAAUAUUAUAUUCCAAAAUAAUUGGGUUUGGAUGGUCAUUUUAUUUUUUAAAAUAUCCAAAUAUCUUACAAAAUUAGAGUGCUUGACUUUCUUUAUACUGAGUUAUAAAGUGAAAAAAUUAAAAAAAUUAAAUACUCUUCAUGCAGUGGGAAGAAUUGGGUUGCCGUUAUGUUAAAUAAAAGAAAAAUGAAUUAAACGUACAACACUUCAAUAAUCUCAUUCCCAAUCAUAUCAGAAACAAAGUUUUCUGUAUAUUUAUGAAAUAACUAUUGAUUUUACUUUGGUAAUUGUUUUUUUCAAAUACGGUAAAUAUCUUCAUUUUCUUUGCAUACGAGCUUUCAUUCUUUUACUCUGGCAUUUACUCUUGACCGUAUCUCGUGGUCAAAUUCAAUUAAUCUCAAUCUUCUCAAGUUUGUGGCUGUUUUACUAGUUACGAACUUUUGUAGGAUGCAUGUAGAUGAAACUUUUUUAUACAUUUUUUCUUUUCUAUUUUUUUUUUUUCUUCGGUGAACAAAUUAAAAAUUUAGUUUUUGUCAUCAUCACACAACACUGACAUGAAAAAUGUUGUACCAAUCAAUGAGCCACUAAUUUCGUCUUCUUAAAAGAGAAUUAUUGCGGCUAGGCAAUUGGAAACUCGAAGAUUUCCGUAUUACCCAAACCUAAGUAGUAAGAAUUUUCAUAUGAAAAAUAAUUUGGAGGAAAAAUAAAACGAUUCAAAUUAAAGAUCAGUAAUUUGUGCUCCUGACAAAACCAAUAAUUCAAUCCACACAAUUUUUCUUGUUUUACUUCAUGGCACUUGUAAAUCUUUGAAUUAUCAAAUUAAUGGCAAAACACUUCAACAUCUGUUGUCUCAUAGAGUGAAAUAAUCUUCAGUCUUUGACAUAUCCCUGGGGCAAUGUAUACUGACUUUACAUUAAAAUAAAAUAAAACAAACAUUGUCAUGUAGUUAAGGAAACUUAAUUUUGACAAGUGCAAGAGAGGGUGGAAUUCAUUUGAAGCAAGAAAAUCAGUCAGUCCCAUUUUCUAUUUUGCAAUUGUUGAAGUAAUUCUAAAUUCGUUAGGAUCACAAGGAUAGGCUUCUGUUGACUGAGGUUUGGCUUAACGCAUGCGGGUCUUUUUCUUCUCUAUUUCUUAGAAAUUUUGGUUUCAUUAUAAAUACGUGGUAUAUAGCAAUCUUAUGAGUGUUCUUGCAUUACCAAUCCAAUUAAGCUUACACUUACAACCUAAAUACUCUCAUCUCAUGGAAAGAGUUCAUUCUCUCAGUAUGAUAAGCAGAUUUCUCUUACUCCACUGUUUGGUUCUUAUUUUCUUAUUUAUCGCUGCUGCAACAGCGAACACAAGUACUAUUACCACAGACCAAGAUGCUCUGUUGGCCCUGAAAGCUCACAUAUCUCAUGAUCCGACCAAUUUCUUGGCCAAGAAUUGGAAUAAAAGUACUCCUAUCUGUAAUUGGACAGGCGUCACUUGUGAUGUCCAUAGCCAUAGAGUCACAGUCUUGAAUAUUUCAAGCUUAAAUCUCACAGGCACCGUCCCUGCUCAACUUGGGAAUCUUUCUUCUCUGCAAUCACUCGAUCUCAGUUUUAAUCGACUUUCUGGUUUCAUUCCCUCCACCAUCUUCACCAUGUAUACACUAAAACGUGUUAGUUUCCGUGAAAAUCAGCUCUCCGGCACCUUCCCUUCUUUCAUCUUCAACAAGUCUUCUUUACAACAUCUUGAUUUUAGUCACAACACACUGUCUGGUGAAAUUCCUGCAAAUAUUUGCAGUAAUCUUCCUUUUCUGGAAUACAUUUCUUUGUCCCAAAACAUGUUCCAUGGCAGAAUACCGCCCACUCUAUCAAACUGCACAUACUUAAGAAUCUUAGGUUUGUCACUUAAUAAUUUCUCGGGGGCCAUACCUAAAGAAAUCAGUUAUUUGACCAAACUUAAGGAACUAUAUCUUGGCGUUAAUAGACUCCAAGGUGCGUAUGAUCACGGAGUUCAUGAAAAUUGUUCCAUAAGUUGUAAUAUAAAAAUUUUCCAUAAAUCACUUUAUACAUGUUGAUUAAUUUGCAGGAGAAAUUCCCAGAGAGGUUGGCAAUCUUGCUGAAUUGGAGCUAAUGUCGUUACCAGAAAACAAACUCCAAGGUAUGAUUAUAAACUUUUUGCAUUUUUAUUCUUGCUCUGGUUGUGAUGAAACAGAAACGUGAUAGAAGAAACUAGAUUUCUGAAUAUUGAUAAUUUCAUUGAAAAGUCUGAAUGAAUGAAACUAGGGUUUUGAGCCCCUUUUAUAACAAGCCUAAAUAUCGCAAAUUUAUCAAAAGAGGCAAAUCUGAAAUAUUAUUUGAUAAUAAAAUUCUCCUAUCCGAAAUUAGAAAGGAACAAAAAACGGAAUCUAAAUCUGAGUUCUAAGAAAAAAAAAGAUAAAAAUCCUAGAAGAAUCAGGAAAAAUAGGAAAAAAUCUUAAAACCUAAAAACGACUAGGAAAUAAAUGGAAUUUUCAGCUCGACCACAGACCAAAACCUCUUAAGCGUUUUGCGUUUUGCGUUUUGUUCAUCUCGUUGCAAGCUUUUAAACAAUAUAUUAUACGUCCAAAACAUACACUUGUAUCUCAAGUUAUGGCCUUUGGAAAGUACCUUACUCGAGACACACAGCACCUACAUCAGUCCCCCGCACUUGAAAAAGAACUCGUUCUCGAGUUUGGCUCGUACAACUCUUCAUUAUCUGGACGAUAUUUGAAUAGAUCAGCCACAUUGAAAGUGUGAGAGAUAUUUCAAUUGCUCGGCAGCUGAAACACAUAAGCAUUAUCAUUAAUCUUUCUAGCCGCGCAAAACGAACCAUACUUGUACUUCUCCAAUAUAGUGCGAAUGCUAGGAAAACGAUUGCGCCGAAUGUAUGCCAUCACUAAAUCACCUUCCUGAAACACAUUCCUGCAUCAAUGCUUGUCUGCUUCAGCUAUAUACUUGGCAUUGGUAGCCUCCAAGUGAGCUCGUACCUUGAUAUUAUUUGCGCUGUGCUUUCUCCAAUGCCAAAUACUAUUGGCUUAAUAGCUAAAUCACAAACAUGGUGUGGGGAACAAGUGUAGAAAAUCUCAAAAAGGGUAUUGCCAGUACAUUGAUUGACCAUGCUAUAGUAUGCAAACUCAACUUGAGGUGAUGCAACUUCCCAGUUCCGUUGCCUAUCACCAUAAACACAGUGCAACAUGUUGCCCAAAGUGUGAUUGACCACUUCCGUUUGCCCAUCUGCUGUGGAUGGGCAGAUUAAACUCCAACUAUGUGCCAAACUCAUCCCAGAGAUGACGCCAAAGCUUGCUGAUGAAUUUUACAUUCCUAUCAGAAGCAACAUCUUAAGUCUUCUUACAUGCAAUAAAAUGUGCCAUCUUUAAAAAUCUAUCCACCAUAACAAUAUAGAAUCUUGACCCGUCCUUGUCUAUGGCAAUCUUAACACAAAAUUCAUGGAGAAAUCCAAGUAAAUGUUUUCUGGAACAUGUAGUGGCAUGUAUAACCCUGUGUUCUGCACCUGCCCCUACCCUCUUUGCAAGCUUGACACCUCAGCACAAUUUUAGAUACAUUCCUAUUCAACUGUGGCCAAUAACAACGCUCUUCCACAGGUGCUCUAGUCUUGGCUAAGCCCAUAUGUCCUCUCAAUCCUCCUCCAUACAACUCACGGAUAAUCUGUCCUCGUAAAGAACUCAGAGGCACACAUAAUUCGUUGACCUUGAAUAAAUAUCUAUCCUAAAUAUGGAAAUCUUCCGCAUACUGAUGAUUGACACAACGAUCCCAAAUAUACGUUAAGUCUUUAUCCUGAACGUACAAUUCCUUCAAACACUCAAAACCAAUAACUUCAUUAACUAAAGUUACUAGUAAAGUUGCUCGCCUACUUAGAGCGUCUGUUAUUUUAUUUUGCUGCCCAGACUUGUGCUUCAAAGCAAAAGUGGACUUCUGCAUAUAACUCACCUAUCUGGCAUGCAUAUUGCUGAAAUUUUGUUGGCUGUUAAAGUACUUCAGUGCUUGAUGGUCACUGUAAAGCAUGAACUCCUUUUGAAUCAAAUAAUGCUCCCAAAACGCCCUAAAGAUGACAUACAACUCUUGGUCAUAAGUGGACCACUUCUGCCUUGCUUCAUUCAACUUCUCGCUCAUGUACUCAAUUAAUCACCUUCUUUAGAAAGAACAACACCAAUUCCUUUUUUAGAAGCAUCGUACUCAACCUCGAACAGUUUGCCAAAGUUUGAAAAAGCUAAUAGACAACUUUUCCUUUAAUAAAGUAAAGCUUGCUUCCUAUUCGUCUCCCCAUUUGUACUUCCCUUUCUUCAAACGCUCUGUGAUAGGUGCGGCUAUAAUGCUAAAAACUUUGAACCUCACUCACUGUCUUGGGCAUAGGCUAUUCUCUAAUGGCUUGUAUCUUUGACUUAAUAGCUAGAAUCUCAUCCGCACCAACUAUGAAACCCAAACAUUCUACAUUACUUUAUAGAAAGUUAACACUUCUUUAGAUUAAUGUAUAACUUAUUUUUCUAUAACACAUCCACAACUCUCUUCAAAUGCUUCAAAAUGCAUCACCACAUCAACAAAAUAUACCACAAUAAAUUUACAUGAGGAAGGCUUGAGAACCUGGUUCAUUAAACGCAUGAAAGUACUUGGUGCAUUGGAUAACCCAAAUGGCAUCGCAGACUACUCAUACACCCUUUUUCCUUUUAAACACUGUCCUUUACUUAUCUUCAGAUCUGAUUCAAAUCUAGUGAUACCGAUUGCACAAGUCUAUCAUUGAGAAAACUCGAGCACCAUCCAAUUGGUCUAGCAAAUCUUGAAAUGUUGGAAUAAGGAAACAAUAUUUCUCCAUAAUCUAAUUAAUCUGCUUGCUGUCCUCACGUAUACGCCAACUUCGAUCCUUCUUAAGAACCAACAAUGUUAGUAAGCAUAUGGACUCAUGCUUUCACAAAUGAAUCCCUUCCACAAUAACUCAUCAACAUGUCCUUAUAAAGUCGCAUGCUCACGAGGACUCAUGUGAUAAUGGGGUAAGUUAGGUAAACUUGCACCAGGUACUAGGUCUAUAUGACGCUCAACAUCUCGCAAAGGUGGCAACCCAUCCGGCAUCUCUGAUGGUGUAAUGUCAGCGAACUCAACCAAUAAUGGCUGUACCUUCUUAGGAAUAGUCUUCACCUCGAAUUCGUCCUCUUGCUAUAACUUCUUACAACUAUCACAGUCAUCCUUUAAAUGGCCUUUGACAUUAGCCAGAAACUAAUACACAUUAUCCCUUCCCAUAUGGACUGCAUCCACAUCAAACUGCAAAAGCCUACCCAAUAACAAAUGGCACGCAUCUAUAUCUAUGACAUCAUAGACUACAUUACUCUUAUAAGCCUUCUUAAUGGAGAAAGAAACAUAGCACACCUUCGUUACUCACGUUUCUGUCCCUUUCUUUAUUCACUCUAUUCGGUAAGAUGUUGGAUGUUUCUCCGUCAAGAGCCCCAUCACAAUGAUCAGCGCCUUUGAUACUAUAUUCUUGCUAUUGCCGCUAUCAAUUAUCAUGUUGCAUACCUUGUCAUUGAUAGUGCCACGUGUUAUGAAAAUUUUAUUGUGCUGAUUAUCCUUUUCAAACUUUGGCACCAACAAAAUGUUUUGCACAUUGCAAUUUAGCUCUCUCCUUCAUCCGCCUCUAACUCCAAAGAUUCUUUAUCAUCCCUGUCAUCAAUAUCAUUCACCUUUGCCUCGCCAACUUCAUCCUCUGCCAAAUUUAAAUUUUUUAGAUGACAGUCACUCGAUACUUCAAACACUUAGUCAAUAUAGGCUUUGCAUACGAAUUAUUUUGUUGUUUAGGUGGCUGCUCCUGCCUUCACUACUGCUAUGCUGGUUGUUGCAUUUGCUACUGGCCCACGUUUUCUACUUGUUUUCAACCUUGGCAUUGCUUGGUUUAUUCUGCACUCUAGUGAAUUGUCGCUAAUGGGUUCUAAAAGCAACACGUUGCUUCCAUUCUUCUAACUUCUUUGUCCUAGUAACCACUAUACCCAUGUCCUAAAUCGCAUCUACAAUCUCAUCUUGAGCUCUUGUUUUAAUCCUUUAAGAUACUUCCUAAUUGUCCGAAACUGUGGCUCAUCCAUGUUAUUCCUUAUGUGCAAACGAUAAAAUUCUUUCAUGUACUCAUCGACACUACGAUUUCCUUGCCUGCAAUUCUAGUAUUUUACGCAUAAUUGCUGCUGAUAAUCUGCUGGCAGGAAAUACUUUUUCAUUAUCCUCUGCAUUCUAGGCCAUGAUUUAUUUAAUGGCUUUGUCUAAUAGCCUCCGCAGACAGUGGUCGUGUGGUCGUACCAUGAUGACAAGCGAACUUGUUUUGAUAACAAUUGAAGAAACAGAAAUAUAAAGCGUUUCAUGAUAGAAGAAACUAGGUUUUAAUAUCAGUUGUUUAUUAAAAUUUAUUGUUUGUUUGUUUAAAUCUUUUAAGGGUGUUGUUCCAAAAGCAUGAAAUAUCAAGGGAAAAACAACUACUAAAAAUUAAAAUUAAAAGUUUAAGAAUUUGGGAUAAAAAGGUGAUGGGUAAAAGUCUAGAAAUCAAGAAAAAAGAAUGAAGAAACAAAAAAAAUGUUGGCCAAUGAAAAUGAUUAGAGAGAUUAUGAUAAUUUAACUUAAUAAGGGUAUUUAAAGUAUUAACAUGGGUUUCUAAAGCAAGAUUGUAUAUUUUAAAUUUUAGGCGUGUGUUUAUUAAGCAAAUGAGUUAAUUGAAAAGUGUGAAUGAAUGAAACUAAUGUUUUGAGUUCCUUUUAUAACAAUCCUAAAUAUCGUGAAUUUAACAAAAGAGGCAAAUCCAAAAUAUUAUUUGAUAAUAAAAUUGUCUAUCUGAAAUAAGAAAGGCAAAAAAAAUGGAAUCCAAAUAUGAAUUCUAGGAAAAAAAAGAUGAGAAUCCCAGAAGAAUCAGGAAAAAUAGGAAAAAAUCUUAAAACCUAAAAAUGACCAGGAAAUAAAUGAAAUUUUCGGCUUGUCCAUGGGCUAGAAAGGCUUAGACAUUUUAGGUUUUGUUCGUCUCAUCGCAAGCUUUAAAAAGAUAUAUUAUACGCCCAAAAUAGACAUUUGUACCUCAAGUUAUGGCCUCCAGAAAGUACUCUACUCGUGACCGCUACGCCCUAAUAGACUUGCUUCUGUAUUCAUUUGCUUGUUCUUUAAUUAUGCUAUGGUUAAUUUUUUUCUUUGACAUAGAAAUAAAUCUUUGUCUCUCCUCACUCAUUUCAUUUUUUAAUUUAUGCUGAUAAAAUAAAAUGUUUUGUAAAUUUUCUUUCUUCAUAUUGGCACUUCCAUCUUGAAGCUCCUAAUUUAGUUGAUGAAAAUGAAUGAUGUUUCAUUCUUAGUCCUGUCAGCCUAAUUCUUAUAUUGUUGAAGAGUUAACUGUUAUUAUGACAUUCUUCAGGCAAUAAUUUUUAUUUUUUUUUGAGAUAUGAAUAAUCAAAUUGUUUGCGCAUAUAUGUACGUUCUUAAUCUGCAGGAGAAAUUCCACAGGAGUUGGGAAAUCUUGUAGGAUUGGAGUUCUUAUUUCUUUCUGAUAAUUUUUUAACCGGUAUUAUUCUUUCUUCUAUCUACAAAUUGCUUUUCUCUACUGAAUUUGGAAUUCUCAUUUAAUAACGUAAUAGGUAGCUUCCCUUACGACCUAUAUAUGUGACCUGUUUUCUUCUUAAUUAAAAGAUUUCACGUCUCUCAUUAUAAAUUCUCAUAUGGGGAUGUAUCGUUACCACUAUCUAACACUAACUAGUUUUUUUUUUUCAGAAAUUAAUCUGUUUGUAUGCAAAAUUUUCUAGCAUUUAAAAAAAAAAUUAAAACACGUGGAAUGAAUCUUCAAUCUUUCUUCUAAAUUGAUUUUGGAUUUCUCAAAAAUUAUCUUGACAGGUAUGUUCCAUUAAUGAUAUGCAUGUGUGACAACCUCAUAAAAUAUUUUACAUGGAAUCACUAAUUAUUUUUAAAUAAUUGGAGAUGCCAUCACUAAUAAAUAAUUUCUUAACAAGCACCAUUCUAAAAGAAAUCAACAAUUUUACUAGUUUUAAAGGGUUACAUCUUCACUGCAAUUAUGACAUAAUUUUUUAUCUAACUAAAUUUUUAGUCAUCAAUCGCAUAAUAUUUUGUCUCAACAGAUGAUGUUCAAUCUUACAAUUUAUAAUAUCUCAAAAGUUAGUAGCUAUGAAAAUAAGAAGUCAUUUAUUUGCUAAAAAGUUAAUUUAGUAUUUAAGCAUUUCAAUUGAGAAUUUUGAAAUAAGUGUUGAGAACUGGUCCUCGUUAGUAUUUCAGAGGAUAAAUAUGAAAAAUAGGCUAGAAAAAAUUAUUUCACUGAAAUAAUAGUUAAAAAGAGAGGAGAAGUACAGUACUCAUGACUUAGGUUUGUUGUGUAAUUGUUUUAGCUUCUGCUUCGGGCUUGAUUAUACAGUCGAAAAUUUGCACUUACACCUGCUACAAUAAUAACAUCCCACGACUUAGGCUUUUACUUUUCACCAACAUUUGAUAAUUUCUUAACCUUCCCAUUUAGGUUGUAGCAAUUUGUUUAUAAAUAAUUAAAGCAUAUUAAAGCUAGCAUUGAUGUACGGAUGAGUGGUGACCAAAUUGUUUGCGCAUAUGUAAUUUGCAGGAGAAAUUCCGCAGGAGUUGGGAAAUCUUGUAGGAUUGGUGUCCUUAUAUCUGUCUGAUAAUUUUUUAACUGGUAUCAUUCUUUCAUCUAUCUACUAAUUGCUUUUCUCCAUUAAAUUUGGAAUUUCAUUUAAUAACUUGAUGGGUAACUUCCCUUGCGACAUAUAUGUGACAUGUUUUGCUUCUUAGUUAAAAUAUUUCACGUCUCUCAUUAUAAAUUCUCAUGUGGGGAUGUAUCGUUACCGCUAUCUAACACUAUCUAAAUUUUUAUUAGAAAGUAAUCUGUGUGUGUGCAAAAUUUUGUAUCUUGAUAGAUAUGCUCCACUAAUGAUAUGCAUGUGUGACGACUUCAUUAAGUAUUUUACAUGGAAUCACUAAUUAUCUUUAAAUAAUUGGAGAUGCCAUCACUAAUAAAUAGUUUCUUAACAGGCACCAUACCAAAAGAAAUCAGCAAUUUUACUAAUCUUCAAGAUUUAGGUCUUGACAGCAAUAGACUUCAAGGUAUGUGUCAUGACAGAAUUUUUUAUUUAAAUAAAUGUUUUUGUCAUCAAUCGUGUGAUAUUUUACCUUAAAGAAUGAUGUUCAAUCUUAGAAUUUAGAAUAUCUUGAAGGUUAGUGGAUAGAAAAAUUAGAAAUAGUUUAUUUGCUGAAAAUUUAUGUUAUUGUUUGAGCAUUUCAAAUGAAAAAUCUGAAAUAGAUGUUGAGAACUGGCCCUCGUUAGUAUUGUAGCGGAUAAAUAUGAGAAAUAGGCUAGAAGAAAUUAUUUUGCUGAAAUAAUAGUUAAAAAAAAAGACGAGAAGUAUAGUUCACAUGACUUUAAGCUUGCUGUUAAUUGUUUUAGCUUUGGCUUCGGGAUUGAUUACACUUACACCGUCGAAUAUUUGCACUUACACCUGUUACAAUAAGUUCUUAACCUAGGCUUUUACUUUUUCACCACACAUUUGAUAAUUUCUUAACCUUUCCUAUUAGAUUAUAGCAAUUUGUUUAUGAAUAACUAAAGCAUACUAAAGCUAGCAUUGAUGUACGGAUGAGGGGUGACAAAAGUGUAUAUGUUUUUAUGUAAUCUAAAUAUAAUUCUUUCAAAAUAUAGGUGAGAGAUCACAUGAGAUUGGUAAUCUUUAACCGUGAUAAGAAUUCAAAUAUGUUCAUUGUAAUAGACAAAAAAUUUAGUUCCAAAAUACAUUCUUAUGGUCAUAUCAGUUUUACAUUAAUAAUUUAAAUUAACAUGAAAAUAUGUUGUUUUUUUCACUAUGUUAUUAUAUUAAACAAUGAUGUGAAUAUAGAAAUUAAUAAUAUUUAUAGUUACUUAAUAAAAAUAUAAAUUUAAUACUUUGUUAACAUUUAUCUAUGUAUGCUAAUUAAACUUAAACUGGUAUUUAAACAAUUUUGGUUACGUGUAUUCAUUCCAUGAUAUAGAAGUAUAUAUUUAUACUAAUUUACCACUAUCAAUGAAAUGUUUUGAGACAAAUUAUUUAAUUUAUAUUAGUAUACUUAAAAUACUCGCAUUUAUUAUAUUUUGAAAAAAAUAUUUGCAUUUAUUAUAAACCUUUGGAUUCUAAUUUUCUUAGUUACAAAAGUCAAAGGGUUUAGUCGAAAUGAGUUUGUGUGAUCAUUUUCAAAUCUAGGGAGUCUACGUAUACAAUUAAACAACUAGAUGUUAUCUUCCCUAAAUUAAGGCAUAUGUUAAUUUGUAGGAGAAAUGCCGCAGGAGAUUGGAAAUCUUACAAAAUUGGAGAUUUUAUUGCUAAGGGAUAAUUUCUUUACAGGCAGGCUUCACUAAUGAUAUACAAGUGACAACUUCAUAAAAUAUUUUACAUAGAGUCAAUAUUUUUUUUUAAAUAAUUAGCGAUGUCAUCACUAAUAAAUAAUUUCUUAACAAGCACAUACCAAAAAAAUUGGUAAUUUUACUAAUUCUAAAGAGUUACAUCUUCACUACAAUAGACUUCAAGGUAUGUAUCAUGGCAUAAUUUUUUAUCUAAAUCAAUUUUUAAUCAUCAUUUAGUGAUGUUUUACCUUAACCAAUGAUGCUCAUUAAUAAAAUAUCGUAAAGAUUAGUAAAUUUAUUGUUUAGCAUUUCACUUCAAAAACUUGAACUAAAUUUUGAUAACCUCGAAUCUACAUGUUAGUAGGGAGAAAUUUGAAAAGAAACGAUUUUACUGAAUUAAUGCUGCGUUUACUUUUUGGAUUGGAUUGGGAAUCCUGAGGAGUGGGAAUCCUUGGAUUAGGAGUGUGGAGUGGGAGUGGGAGUAGGGUGUUUACUUAGACUAAAUGAAAGUAUGGAUUGUCAAUCAGAAUCUUAAUUAUUUGUUUACUUUGUCUUGGAUUGGGAGUAAAUUGUUUUAAAUUACAAUUUUAUCCUUAUGUACAGAAUUAUAAUUUGUAAUUAAAAAAUUAAUAAAAAAUAUAUUUGGAAAAUAAAAUAAAUAUUUUAUUAUAUUUAUAAAUUAAUAAUAAUUACUAAUAUUCUUAAUUAUGUAAAUCAUAAUUUUUUAUUAAUUUUAAUUUAAAUUAUGUGAAUAAAAAUUAUUAAUAAUAGCAACACAAAUGAAAUAUUAUUAUUGAUAAUAUAGUACAAAAUUAAUAUUUUUUUAGAAUAAAAUAUUUAUUAUUAUUAAAUAAAUAAAUAAUUAAUAUUUAUUAAAAUUAAUGUUUAAUAUUAUUAAUUUAAAUAUAAUAUUUAUUUAUUUUUAUUUUAUUAAAUUUAAUAAAAUAAAUAUGAUAUUAUUUAUUUUAUUAAAUACAAUAUUUUUUAUUUUAUUAAAUAUUAUUUAUUUAUUUAUUUUUAUAGGAUAAAAUGGGAAGAGGGGGAGUGAAUUCCCACUCCCACCUCCCCCCAUGGGAGUGGGAAUCCCACUCCCCACUCCAAAAUUGAGUGGGACCCACGGAUUUCCACUCCCACUCCCCCCUUUUUUAAGGUAAGUAAACACUGGAGUGGGAGGAAUCCACACUCCACACUCCCACUCCAGAAAGUAAACACAACCUAAUUUAUUUCAUGUUGCUGUAACUGAAAUGCUGAUUUUUUUUUUUCACUUAUUGAUGUUUCACCAACUUAACGAAUGAUGCUCAUUCAUAAAACAUCGUGAAGAUUAGUAGGAAAUUUUAAAAUUGUUGAUUUGCUAAUAAAUAAAUUUAGUGUUUAGUAUUUUAAUUGGAAAACUUGAACUAAAUGUUGAUAAUCUCGAAUCCACAUGUUCGUAAGGAGAAAUUUGGAAAGAAAUUAUUUUACUGAAUUUAUUUAUUUUAUCAUGCUGCAAUCGAAAUACUGCUGGGCUUUUUUUUUUUUUGGUGGGCUCUCACUGAGGCUUGGUUUACUUUGAUAGUUGCAGCCACCGACUUAGAAUUUUACGUUUCACCACCCAAUUUGAUCUUUUCUUUAAACCACAUAAGUAUUGGUCAAAUAUAUUCUAUUACAUUUCUCUCUUAAUUUCUCCAAUUGUGCAUUAUUAAUACUUAAUUCUCCCUAUCAAUUUUCCAUAAAAUCCAUCUACCACUUAAAUCACAUAUAUAUUUUACUUAUAUUUUACCAAAAAAUAUAAAAAUAAAAGAAAAAGAAUACGUGUAGCAAUUUGUAUAUAAAUAAUAAAGCAUUGCCGGUGUGUAGCCUUUCAAUUUUUCAUGGGCGUUUUCCUUGUUUGUUAGUACUUGUAAUAAUUGUACAGCAUAUAAAUGACUAUUUAUUAUAUAUGUGUGUCCGUUUAUAUGUAUUAUUUAUUAUUUGAAAAUAAUCUGAAUAUAAUUCUUUCAAAAUACAGGGGAGAUACCACCUGAAAUCGGUAAUCUCCGUAGUCUGGAAUGGUUGCUGCUUGGUUACAACAAAUUAGUUGGUACUAUCCCAGCUGCAAUCUUCAAUGUGUCAACACUCAAACAACUUGACCUUCAAAAUAAUUCUCUAUCGGGAAGUCUUUCGUCUAUCGCAGAUGUCCGACUUCCAAAUCUUGAAAUGCUUUAUAUGUGGGGUAAUAAUUUCAGUGGCACAAUUCCUCGUUUCAUAUUUAAUGCUUCUAAGCUCUCUAUACUAUCAUUGGAAAAGAACUCAUUCUCUGGUUUUAUUCCCAACACAUUUGGCAACCUAAGAAACCUUGAGCAGUUGGAUUUAUCUGAUAAUUAUUUGACUUCUUCAACUCCAGAAUUGAGCUUUCUAUCCUCGUUGUCAAAUUGCAAGUCUCUAACACAUAUCCGCUUAUCAGAUAAUCCACUAAAUGGGAUUCUUCCAAGGACAACUGUCGGUAAUCUUUCUCAUUCUUUGGAACUCUUUGACAUGUCCUAUUGUAACAUUAGUGGCAGCAUACCUAAAGAGAUCAGCAACUUGACCAACUUGACAACCAUUUAUUUAGUGGGCAAUAAAUUGAAUGGAUUAAUUCCAAUUACUCUUGGAAAAUUACAAAAGCUUCAAAGCCUGGUUCUUGAAGAUAACAAAUUAAAAGGAUCGAUCCCAGACGAUAUUUGCCGUUUGGCUGAAUUGUAUGAGUUAAACUUGGGCGGCAAUAAGCUUUCUGGAUCAAUCCCUGCAUGCUUUAGUAAUCUGGCUUCUCUGAGGACACUGUCAUUGAGUUCCAAUGAGUUAACUUCUAUUCCAUUAACUCUCUGGAACCUUAAGGACAUAUUGUACCUCAACUUUUCAUCAAAUUUUUUGAGUGGUCCACUCCCGUUAGAGAUUGAAAAUUUGAAGGUUUUGGUAGGAAUUGAUUUUUCGAUGAACAAUUUUUCAAGUGUUAUUCCAACUACAAUUGGAAGCCUAAAAGAUCUACAAUAUCUCCUUUUAGCAUAUAACAAAUUGCAAGGAUCGAUUCCUGAUUCAGUUGGUGAUUUGAUAAGUUUGAAAUCUUUGAACUUGUCUAAUAAUAAUCUCUCUGGGGCUAUUCCUGUAUCUUUAGAGAAAGUUUCAUAUCUCGAAAAUCUAGAUCUCUCUUUCAACAAGCUAGAAGGAGAAAUUCCUAAGGGAGGAUCUUUUGGAAACUUCUCAGCUGAAUCAUUUGAGGGAAAUGAAUUAUUAUGUGGUUCGCCCAAUUUACAAGUCCCACCAUGCAAAAUUAGCAUCCACCACGCAUCACGGAAAAAUGCUCUUCUCCUAGGGACUGCCUUGCCAUUGAGUACUAUAUUUAUGAUAGUAGUCAUUUUGUUGAUCCUAAAAUGUCGAAAGAGAAGAAAACGACCAUCGGAUGAUGCUAAUAUACCACCAGUACCAACGUUGAGAAGGUUUUCAUACUUAGAACUUUAUCAAGCAACAAAUGGAUUCGGUGAAAACAAUCUAAUCGGUAGAGGAGGUUUUGGCUCCGUUUACAAAGCAAGAAUUCAAGACGGGAUAGAGGUUGCAGUGAAGGUUUUCAACCUGCAAUGUGGAAGAGCAUUUAAGAGUUUUGAUGUUGAAUGUCAAGUGAUGAAAAGUAUUCGCCAUCGAAACCUUAUCAAAGUUAUCAGCAGUUGCUCAAAUGAAGAGUUUAAAGCAUUGGUAUUAGAAUACAUGCCUCAUGGAAGUUUGGAGAAGUAUUUGUAUUCAAGUAACUGCAUUUUGGAUAUUUUUCAAAGAUUGAACAUAAUGAUAGAUGUUGCAUCAGCUUUGGAAUAUCUACACUUUGGUUAUUCAACUCCAGUAAUUCACUGUGACUUAAAGCCCAACAAUGUAUUGUUAGACAACAAUAUGGUUGCUCAUUUGAGUGAUUUUGGCAUUGCAAAACUCUUAACUGGAGAAGAUCAAUUUGUGACUCAAACACAAACACUUGCCACAAUAGGCUAUAUGGCACCAGGUUUGUUCAAUAUAAAUAUUUUAUGUUUCUUUUAAACUUCCUAAUAAGUUAUUUAUGUUUCGUGAUCUUUUUUGGAUGAGGAAAAUAUUAUUAAUGAUUUAUCUUACGAUGCAUGUGUCGCAAUUUAUAGAAUAUGGAAGAGAAGGACGAGUAUCUACAAAUGGAGAUGUUUAUAGCUUUGGGAUUAUGUUAAUGGAAACUUUUACUGGGAAGAAACCCACAGACAAAAUUUUUAAUGGAGAAAUGACAUUAAAGCGUUGGAUUUGUGAUUGGAUACCCAUUUCAAUUAUGGAAGUUGUUGAUGCAAAUUUGCUAAGUCGGGAGGACAUACAUUUUGUUGCAAAAGAGCAAUGUUUGUCAUUUGUCUUCAAUUUGGCUAUGGACUGCACGGUAGAAUGCCCUGAGCAGAGAAUCAAUGCAAAAGAAAUUGUGACAAGGCUUUUAAAAAUUAGAUACUCGUUACUUAGAAAUGUUGAAGGCAGAUGUAUAAGACAAUCAAAUUUAAAUUGAUUAUGUCACUCCUUCAUUGAUAACUAUCAUUUCCAGAGACUUGGAUGGUUAUCUUUCAUACAGGUUUUGUUGAUAUGUUUUGUUAUUGCUAUUGCUCUUGUUUAUUUCUCUGUUUUGUUAUUGUUGUUGCUCUUGUUUAUUUCUCUUUCUCUUGUAAUUAGCAUGCAUGCAUUUUUUGUUCUCUUCCAUAUUUGUGUUGGUUUGUACCUAGUUUAUUUUCUAGGAAUAAGGUUCAUUACACCCACCCCUAUUUUGAUGUACCCUUUUUAUUUUUAUUCAAUAAAGCUUCCCCAGUACCAUCGAGAUUCACUGAAAGAAAAUUCCAAAUUGAUUUUCUUUUCUCUGUCUGGUAAUGAAAAUUAUAAUCAUUAUAGUGAAUAACUUCAAUAAUAGAGUGUAAGAGUAUUAGUUGUUAUGGCUGUACGUAUGACUUCAAUAAUAGAGUGCAAGAGUAUUAGUACUUAUGACUGUUUCCUGAACCUGGAGUCUGAGUAAUUUAACAGCAACAAGUCUCUUGUAUUACAUGCAAAAUUCUUUUUAUUAAUCUUAUUUUAGUUUGUGUUCAUUUUCUCCUAUUUUCUCUGUAAAUCUUUGCUCCCUUUUUUCCCCUUUGUACUAAAAUUCUUUUCAGAUAUUUUAUGCAAAAAUUAGUUUAGAACAUCAAUAAAUUUUUAUUACAUCCAGGAGAAAGACAAUUGCACUUAGAUCAGUCUUAUUUAAUUGAAUUAUAGGUAAUAAAAUUGGUUUAACAAAAUGUGAUUCUUAACUCUUGUAAUUAAAGAUUAGGGUUCUUUGAUUUUAGUGGUGUAGGGCUAAUAACUCUAUGCAACAAUUCUUGGUGGGUUAGUUUAGUAUACGAUCAUUCUCAAUUCUUUAAAGGUCUCGUCAUUAAAAAUUCCGAUAUCAUAAUUAGAAUUCACACAUGAGUCAAAGUGAGUCAAAGUGAGUCAAAUCAAACCUACAAAUUUGAAGUUCACCAUAAACUUAGGACAAAUUAAAUUGAAGGUGAUUAAUUAAGUACUAGACGAAACCGAACUUAUAAAUUUACCUUACCACACGAUGAACGUACUUAAAAAUCUUAAAUUACACGCAAUUAAUUAUUAAUCUAUAUUUUCUUCAUCGUAUAUCGUUGAAACUUCAUGCUUCACAACAUAUUGUUCCUAAUUGGCCUAAUUGUGUAUUUUUGUCGCGGUCUUGUGCUAUGUUACGGAAAACCGUAAGUGAUGGACACUAAUUUAACGAGAAACAUAUCUAACAUUGCCACAUGUUGUCUCAACAUGUGCGUGAAAACCGAAUUAACCUGUUUGCAUUCGACAACAAAGGAAACUAUUACUUGCUGUUGACCGAUUGCCAAGUAUUUCAAUACCUCCACCAAAAUCUUUAUGACACCACUUUUAAAUUUCAUUUUUUAGAAUACACCCAAUUUUAUUUAUAAAAUAUAAAUCUAGUUAUUAAAAUUAAUCAUCUUCUCAUGAAUUUUCAACUUAAAAAUAUAUUUCUUUUAAUUUAUUAUUAUAAAAUAUAUACAUAUUCUAAACUAUUAAAUAUUUUCCUCUUAUCAUAUAAUUUAUAUUUCUAUAACUUUAAACUCGUAUAAUUUUCUAAAUGUAUAUUUUUCAAUUUAAAAUAUCAAACAGAGCGGGUAUAAAAAUUUUGUUAAAAAAUAAUUUAUUUAAGUAUUUAACUGAAUUUUAAUUUAAAAAUUGAAAUAAAUUAAUUCAUUUUUUAUUAUUUAAGUAAAUUUCAAGUAGAAAAGAUCUUUAUGAGAAAUUUUCAAUGUGUCAAAAUGCCUACUCAAUGGAUAUUAUGAACGACCCAAACUGUGGAGUUAUUUACCCCUCGCAUGUUGUGUAACGAGAGCCAAUUGUGAUCCAAUCAACUGCAACCCUCUCCCGACUCAUUAAUUUUAUAACCCGACUUACUAAUUUUGGUAUUGCUUAAAUGCAAUAUACUUACUAGGCAAUUUAUCGGCAAUAAAACUUGUACAGUAUAGUGGAUUGUUAUAAAAUAUGAGGAAGACAUUACGUACAAAUUGGAUUUAUCUCAUGAAAUUUGAUUAACGAAAGUGUAUGAAAAUAUAUGAAGAAAAAAAUGGUUGUGUAAAUGCUGUAUCGGUGAUGUAUUACUUUUAUAGUCCAUCAAGGUAUAUUUGAUUUUAAUGAUGAAACAAAUACAAGUAAAUCCAUGUACGUCAAUGGUAGAUGGUUCCGGGUUAAACUUGUGGAUUAUAGAAACUAAGCGAGGUUCAUAAAAAAUAUUUUAGAUAAUACCCCUGAAAAAUUACAAAACUAUUUUAAAAAAAGAGAAAUACAUAUUAACUGAGGCAACAAAUGAUUUUGUGAGUAAUAUUAUUGACAUAUGAUUAAAAUUCUUAUUAAUUAAACAUUUUCGUAUAAAUACUAGUGAUAUAAACUUAUAGAGAAAGUACGAAGAAGUGAAGAAAACUUGAAUAUAAAUACUCCGAUAUAAUUUCACACAUAAAAAUUAUGAUGCAGUGAUCUUCAAAGCAUCAUAAAUUGUUUUAGCAUAAGUAAUUAUAAUUUGAAAAAUUGCCAAUAACGUUUAAGGUGGAAACGAAAAGGUUAUACUGUAUAAUUUCACAAAUGAUAUCAUUUAAGACAGCUUAAAAAUUAUGAGAAAUAUAUCGAUCUUGCAAAUAAUAUUUAAUAUGUCAAUUAGACUGAAUCUAUGCAAUAAAAAUUUCAAAUAAAAUAAUAAACCCUUAAUUUCCUUUUAAUAAUAAUUAUGAUCUUAAUUACUAAAGUCAUUCAAUGUCAAGUACUUAUUCAUUUUUUUUUCAAUUAUUGUAAAGACAUUUAGAACUCUAUUCAAUAUUUAUUCAUUCGAAUGUUCUAUUUCAAAGUAAUCAAAAAUUGUAAAUGAAACAAAUUCUUGUAAUCACAAGUGGCCUAAAAUGGGAUUUUUAUUUUUUAAUGUUGCAAUGACUUUGAUCUUGAUAUUGAAACUUUAUUAGUAACGCAUAUAAAGGCUUCAAUUUUAUCGUAAUUGGCUUUUAAUGCUAUGUUCGAGAGUAAGGAUAAAUUGUGAGAUUGGAUUAGAUUUCGGGACUUAAAAAUUAAUUUCAUCUAGUAUCAUAUUUUGCUGUCAAGCUAGUAAAUUAGUCCAAUUUUUUUGGGAUUAAGUAGGAGAAGAUUGAUAAGAUUAAAUGAAAUGUUUUGUUCCCUUUAUCACUCUUUUCUUUUUCGUUUAAAUUAAAUAUAAAAAUCAAUUUCAUAAUUCUUCCCUAGAAUUUUAUAUAUAUUAAAUACCAAAAUUCUAAUCAAUAUUAUUUUAAAUUGUAUUUACUUUAAGAUUAAAUAUCUAAAUUUAAUACAAUAAUUUAGUUAAUCUAGUAUUGAAUAUUAAACAUAAAAAAUUAUUCAAUUAUUUGUUUACCAUAAAAUUGAAUAUUAAAUAUUAAAAUAAUUAUUUAAUAGCAUAUUAUAUCUAUAUAUUAAUAAGAAACAUAUCAUUCAUUAUUUGAUUAUUAUAUUAAAAAUAAACUUAAAUAUUAUUUAACAUCAUUUAGAUUUAAGUUAAUAUAGUACAAUCUAAUGUUAUACUAAACAUGCACAAUACUAUGUAUAGCCUAGUACAGCCAUCAAUAAAUAUUAUUCGCCAUUAGUACAGCCUAGUCCGGUCCAUUUAGGAAUUGGGAUGAACUUUCAGAUAGCUCAUCAUCCAUCUGGGCUCCGGGGGACAUCGAUGAACAAGAAGAAGAAGAAGAAAACGACGUCGUGUCAUCUUGGAAGAAGAAAGAUGGGAUGGGGUUUUAACCAAAGUCAAGUUCUCUAUGAAUUCAUUAGAAGAAUCACUACAGCAGGAAAUCGAAGUCGUUUGGGAAUUUAUUAGAGGUAGUGGAAAGCGGCAGUGGGGGAGCUAAGCAAGUACUGGAGAAGGAAGAUAAUGCAGCAAAAGACAUGAGGGCCCAAAUAGUAUAAUAUAGUAGGUGUGUUUUGUUUUGUGGAUUUUAGUUAUUGUGUCUGUUAAGUGGAAUGUACUAGGUAUAGUUCAUUAUGAAUACUAUAAAUAUGUACUAGGUAUAGUUCAUUAUGAAUACUAUAAAUAUGUACUAAAUCCGUUGUAAAAACGCCACUUGGGCUUUGGCUUAGUGGUGAACCACUACUCUCAAAGUUAAACAGAACUAUAAGGGUAGUGGUUCGAGUUUACAUAGGCUCAAUCUCUCUCAAUUAAGUAAAAAAUUGUGUAGAGUUAAUUUAUAAGUUUUUCUCUCUUGCGAAAUGUGAGUGGAGGAGAGACAUCCCUUGUUUGUGAGGAUCAUAUGUCUGGACAUGUACUUCAUUGAAUUAAUGUAAUAAUGUAAGUCCCGGUUAUAUAUAUGAUUGUAAAUAUCAGUGUAAAUGUCUGGGCAUGUACUUCAUAGAAUUAAUGUAAUAAUGCAAGUCUCAGUUAUAUAGUCUCAGUUAUAUAGCUGAUUGUAAAUAUGAUUGUAAAUAUCAGUGUAAUGUCUACUGUAAUAGCAAUUGUAAAUAUUUGUGUAAUACAGUAAUCUAAUGUGUAAUAAAUAUUAAAAAAAAAUCCGUUGUAAAAAUGAACCUAUUCAAAUUCUAAUUCAGAAUUUGUUAUACUUUCUUCUUUUUGUGAGAACGCAAGUUAAAGCGAAAUCUAAAAAAACUCUUCGUCAAUUGGUAUCAGAGCUUUCUUGUUAAAUACAUCUUCCAUAUCUUUCCAUCACCAACUACCGAAAUUCUGCAUCAUCAAGACUAAAAAUUUCAAAAUCAAUAGAAAUUGAAUCAACAAUAGUCUCUGUUUAAAAUUUUUUUGCUCUCUUCUCUGAAAAUAAUAAUAAUAAUUCUUUGUAAAAUCUAUUAUCAUCCUCUUAUAAUCAUAUUCAUCUAAACUAGUCAACUUUUUAGAUGCUAUCAUUCUUAUUAUUAUAUUUUAAAUUAUUAUUGUUCUUUUUUUUACAAAUUUAAUUUAUUUUUUAUUUUUCAAUUGUUAUAUGCUUGUGUAUUUUUGAAAAAAGAAAAGAGCUAUUUUAUAUUUCUUUGAAAGUUGAUGUUGUUGAAUGUACAAAUCCCUAAAAAACUUUUAAAAAAAAGUUCGUCUAUGGCCUCGAAUCCCUUAGAAUUGAUCCUGACAUAGUAAACACUUAUUGUUAUGGUUUGAAAAUUAGGUUAAUUUGAUUCCACACUUGUACGAUGAAAAAUCUUUAAUAUUUUUACCAAAUCAAAUUUAUAAUUUAGAAAUCAUAUUCAGCACAUAUCAUUUACUUUUAUUUCAUAAGCAAUUUUUGUUUUGGGUAUCGUUGUGCUCGAGACAAAACGGGCCUAAUUUUUAAGGGAGAACCUAGUCGGCUUGGCUGUUGAAGGAAAGGCAUCGAUUAACUUUUUGAACCAUCAUUUCCUCACAAGAAAACAUGGUUCAAUUUGAUCAAUCAAAAAGAAAUAUCCAAUAUUUACAAUUGAUGGAGAUUGAUACGAUCUAAUAGCUGAUUAAUUGAGAGUGGCAUAAUGCUUGACUCUCGUUAACAUGUUAACUUAGACAUCAUGUAAGAUAUCUUUUAACAUAAUUAUAUAAAGUUAAAUGAGGCCCUACCGUUAAUAUGUAAUAAGGUUAUAACUUAAAUAUUGCACAAAGCAAUACCGUUGGAAGGUAUCAUUAGAUUGUUGAGGCCGAAGGCGUAUCGGCAGGAGUUAAUUUGAUAGCGGCUGAACUAAUAUAUUAUUUUUCUAAAUUCAAGGACUAUAACAUUCAUAAAUUUAAUCAUACCUAAGUGAAUAGUUACUUGAAAUUAAGAAAUCUUAAAAUUUGAUGCAGUUCAAAUUUGCUGAACAAAUUUUUUUAUAGUACUUUUGUUGUUUAGAUAGAAAAGUCUAAUAAUGACAUAAAAUUGAAUAACAAACUCUUUUAUCGUCUGUAGAAAAUGAUUUGGGAUAGUUGAUUAAGUUCAUUAAAAGAAAGAAAAAGUACUAUAUUAUAGAAAUUAUAUAUAAUAAGGAGGUAAUAUAAUAUUUCUAGAAGGCAAUUUUCACAUUAAUCAAAAGUAGAACUUAAGUGAAAUUUUCACAAGCUACCUGGGCAGCCCUCUCUAUCCUUCACCACUGGUAUUUUUUAGGUAUAAAUUCUCAGUUGGAUAAAAAUACAAAUAAUAAAAAUAAAUCAUGUGCACUAAGAGGUAUUUAAUCCAAUUAAUUUAAUCAUGCCACAUCAGUAGGGAUGUCAAUGGGGCGGGUUCGGGUUCGGGUGGGGAUCAUGAUCUCCGAACCCGAACCCGAACCCGAUUUAGAAGCAAUCCCCCGAACCCGCCCCAUACCCGAAAAAUUGUAAUGGGGGAUUGUUUGGGUAUAUCCCCGAAAAUCCCCGAAUUAUACUGGAUUUAAAACCAACUAGUACUAAGAUAUUUAAAAGAUAAAAUACAAAUACUCGCUUAUUCUUUGGCUGCAAUGAACAUUUACUAAUUAAGCAUCUAUAAUUUCUAGUUAUAUUUAAUGGUUAAUGAUGCUUAAUUGACUUACAGAAUGGCAAAGGUAAUAUAAAAACUAAAUUCUGGAAGUUAUUAAAUUUAUCUACUUUCAUGAAUUUUUGGGAUAGCACAUAAUUGUCAUGAAGAAUUACCAACCAUGUUGCAUUUGUUGUAACUACUAGACAUUAUAUUAAUUUAAUUAGAAGAUCGACAAAUCCAUGCUACCAAAACUUUUACUUUUCAGCCACUUUAGUGUCUGCCAAACUAAAAUAAGCAAUAUAACACAACACAGUGCUAUUAAGGAGGUAAGGCAGACCAUUGUUGCAACCAUAACCAAGUUCAGUAAAAUGUCCUCUUGGAUGUUUCAGCAAACUAAAAUAGAACUAGUCACUGAACCUUCCAGAUGUUGAGCAGAUCUACAAUCAAGAUUCAGUAGCAGCGUAAGUACAUGGAUUCAAUAGAACUAUCAAACUGGCGAUUGAGAAUGUCAGGAUUCUGGAUCAAAAUUUAUUCCUCUAGAUGUCAGUGGCAUCAAGCUACUAUCUCGUUUAUGAACAGUUAAAUUCCUUCAGCUUCGAAACUAGCUAGCUAAAGGAAGUGGGCAAUAUGCAAGCAAGCAAUUAAACCCUGGAAAUUUAACACAGAGCUAAAAGAAAAAUUUUAACACAGAGUUAAAAGAAAAGCAAGCGGGCAAUAUGCAAAAUAGAAUCAGACUAAAAAAUCAUGACUACCCAAGCUAUAAACCAAUUAAACCCUUAAAGUUUCAGUUGAUAGCACAGGCAAACUAAUAAAGCUAAUAUUACUGACAAACAAAUUGCAGCCAGUAUCCAAAGGAAGUGCUAAACAUGACAAUCAGAUGCAACUCAAUGACUCAUUACUGACAAACAAACACACGCACAGAGACACCCAAAUCAAUGAAACCAGAUGCAAUUCGAAAUAAAUAAACAAAGAAAGAAAAGUAGAAAAGGCAAAAACCUUGCUGCAGGAGAACCAACAGGUGCAGCUGAGUGUUGGUCGGUGAGGACGAACGGUGGCGGCUGACCGGCUGUUAGUGACGACGGCAGCUCACAAACUGUUAGGGUUUCUUUUGGGGGAAAAUUUUGAUUCGAUGGCAUUACAAUUUCUAAUUUCAAAGUUUAAAAUAUUAGUUUUUUUUUGUUUUUCUUUUCGGGUUGAGUUAGGGGAUCCGGAAAAUCCCCAAACCCAAACCCAAAAAAUUUUGGGGUUUUAGAUCCAUACCAAAAUAGACCCGAAUUUAUUUUCAGACUUUUUCAGGGCCCCAUACCCGCCCCAAAUUAAUCGGGGCCCCGCGGGUAUUGUUGCCAACUCUACACAUCAGUUUGUACAAAAUAAAUUUGUAUAGUAGUUUGUAACUCCAUGAAUUAUGAUUACUCAUCAGAAAAAGACAAAGCACUUAUGUAGGAAAAAGUUUAUUUUUCAAUCAUCCACCAAACAAAGCAAGCUGUUGUCAUUCUAAAGGAGAGAGUAGAAAGUACUUUUAAACCGUUAAAGAAUGGUUGUGAGAGUGAAAGGCAAAAUAGGAAGAGGAUUUUGGGAUUUUCAAGAGGAAUUUGAGUUUGCAAAUUCUCAAGAAAAUGAAGCAUGGGAUGAACGAAUCUCAAAUGAUUUUUAAGUAUCGCAAGGGUGGCCACUGGGCACUGGCCUCGUAUUUUAUAAGGACAAAUAUCUUCUCGUGUGUUAGUGGGAAUACAUUUCGAGUUAAUUUUUGAAAAAUUCUUGAUUGAACUACAAAGUAUAUGUACCUAAAACUUCAAAUAGAGUUUCUUUUCCCUUUUUGGAGAACCAACAGACUCUUGAUUAAUGCCAUUUGCAUAGGCAUGUGAUAAGAUACCUAGAUUAUGGGAAAAUAAUGAAGUUUUAUAUGAUAGAUUAGAGUGUUGAAAUUGUAAAUUGUUUAAGUAUUAAAAUUAUAUUGAAAUCCAAUAUUUGGUUACCAGUUAGCACAUAAUAUUUAAAAAUGAUUAAGAAACAGGUAAACUAAUAUAAAAAGAAAUAAUAGAACUAAACGACAAAGCACCUAUUUUGGAAAAGUUUAUUGUUCAAUCUACCACUAAUUGAACAAAAGCAAGUCACUGUCAUUCCAAGGAAACGUACACAACUAGUCACCUACUUAGGAAUAAUUUUUCAAUCCGGGAAUCUUGAAGUUUUUAUAAAUAAAUCAGCUUACAAUUUUAUAACUGUUGGAGAAAAAUUAGUUUUUAUAAUUCUAUAAUAAAAACUUUUAGAAUCGCUCUUAUACAAUAAAUAAGAAUUUGUAAUCUAGAAAUCGUACCUUGAAAAUGCGAUUUGGCUUUUUUCGCUGAGGUGAUUUAGGCUCCUAGAUCACGAUCUGCCACCACCACUCCUGUCAGAUCACGAUCCGUCACCACUACUCCUGUUAGAUCACAAUCCACCACCAAAUAAUCUUCUAGGCUAUGACUCAAGUUUGAUCUGCGCUUGACGUGUAGGCGCUUUUAUCACCACUAAAGCAACUAGCACGAGAAAAUUUUUCUCUCAAUAAUAAAGAGAAAAAUCUUUUUCUCUGAUCUGUAUAAAGUGGUUGCUAUACCUCUCUUCAGAGAAAAUAAGUCAUUUUAUAUCUCUAUCUAGUGGAAACCUUAGGCUCCAUUUUUUUAUAUUAUUUAAUUCUAUUAAAUCAAGUUUGAUUUAACUUAAAAAUAAUAAACCAAAAGUAACGCUACUUCUUUCUUGUCAUAGGGGCCCACCUUAUAAAAUAACACAAGGCCCCUUAGACACAAGUACAUUACAUGGAGCCUCACACUAAAUAAUAUAUUUAGGCUUUUAACCAAAAUAAUUAGUUAUCUUGCUUAUUAAUCCAGUAGUGGCGCAAUCAAUUAAAUGACCUAACCCGGGGAUCAUUUGGGAACAUACAAUAGUGGCUAUAAUAAUUAGGUCUGUAAUUAAAUUAGCCCAAUUAUUUAAUUCCAAAUCUACUCCACUAAAAGAUUAGAACUGAUCUCCAUAAUUGUAUGCUCGAACAAUAAUUUUGGGCCAUAAUAUAGUUUUAUAAAGUUUUGGGGUCAAACUAUAAUUUUGAAAAAUAGUUCACCAUAGCUUUCUUCUUGAGUUUGUUGAGAAGUGGGCAUUCCGAUCUUAUAUGGCCGGACUUCUUGCAUUCAUAGCAUAUGAUUACCUCUUUCUUCUCCUUUUGGUUUUUGAAAUUUCUGAAUUUUCUUCGGUCACCGGUUUUCUUGAAAAAGUUUCUGAACCUCCUUGCUAGCAUAGCCAACUCCUCAUCAUCCGGCUCACUUUCCCCAUGACUCUCAUAUUUGGUGACUUUGAGAGCAAUGUUUUUCUUCCUUUCCUCGUUUCCUCUUUCAGCUGCCAAAUCUUCCUCAUAAGAAAUAAGAGAACCAAUUAAAUCAUCAAUAGGUAAGAUAUUCAAAUCUUUAGCUUCCUCAAUGGCAGUCCUUUUUGGUCUCCAUUCCUUAGAUAACGACCUAAUGAUUUUCUUAACUUUCUCGCUAUUUGAAAAGGUCUUUCCUAGGGCUCCUAGAGUGUUUACUAUGUCCGUAAAUCUAGUAUACAUAUAAUACACACUCUCAUUUUGUUCCAUUUGGAACAAUUCAUAUUGCCGAGUGUAUCUACUAAUUUUAGACUCUUUCACUUGAUUCGUGCCUUCAUAAACAACUUCAAGUUUGUGCCAAAUUUCAUUAGCACUUUCACAACUAGACACUCUAUGAAACUCUUUCUUAUCGAGUGCACAAAACAAGGCAUUCAUGGCUUUGGAAUUUAGAGAAGCUUUUCUCUUUUCCAAUUCAUUCCAUUCCCGUGAAGGUUUUGGAAUGUCUUCCCCAAUUUCAUUUUUAGUCAAAGGCAUAAAUGGACCAUCACAUACAACUUCCCAAAUUUCAUAAUCUAAUACUUGUAAAUAAAUUCUCAUCCUAGUUUUCCAAUACGGGUAGUCAUUUCCGUCAAAGAACGGUGGCCUAGUUGUGGAUUGUCCUUCCCUAAAGGUUGAAUCAUUUUGGGUUGCCAUGGAUCUUUUACUCUAGACGGUUAAGUCCUAACAAGAGAACCAAGCUCUGAUACCAAAUGAAAUACAAGUAACGCAACCCAAGAGGGGGGGGGGGGUGAAUUGGGUUUUUAAAAAUAAUGCAAUACGAUUCGCACAAUAAAUCAAUCUAACGCCUUAAUGAAAUAUAGAACAAUAAAUUCAAACAAGCAUAAAAAUAAAAGAGCAAGGGAAGAUAAAAACAAACACGCGGAUUUUUACGUGGUUCGGCAAUCCUCGCCUACGUCCACGCCUCCAAGCCAACCAAGCUCGAGGAUUUCACUAUCCAAGCCUCCCAAGUCUUUAAGUUUUUACAAUUGACUUCCAAGGUGUCAAUGAACCUUUACAACCAAGAGAUUAUCUCCUCAAUCUCUUCACCCCAAGUGUUUCCCACACUUACACACUCACAAUUUGAUAAGAAAUGAAAAUUACAACAAAAACUCUCUUUAAGAGUGGAUAUGCAACUAAUAGCUCAACAAUGAUUCAAUCAAUGAUGAUUUGCGUUUUGGAAGCUCAAUAUAUGUUGUAUGAUCUUAUAUUUUCGUGCAUUAGUCCUUAGAAUGAAGUUUGAGUUGAGUUUUUAUAGUGAAAGCCCAAAAACUAGCCGUUAUAGGCAAAUUCCCGUGCUCAAGCGGUUAGCCGCUUGAUUAUCCGGCUAGCCACUCAGGAACAGUGAUCUUAAUUUUUGAAUUUUGCUACACUAAAACUGUUCACUGAAAUUAUACUUUGGCCCAAAACUUUCUAUAAUUAUAUUAUGACCCAAAAUGUCAUAAAACUUUACAAAUAGGUCCAAUUUCAGAACUUCCUAAGAAUAAUUAUCUUUCCCAAACUUUUUGAAAUUAUGAUAUGGCCCCAAAGAUUUUAUUAUUUCGCACAAAGGUCCUUUUCAACAUAAUACCCAUAUUUUUUGAAAGUUCUCAAAACCUUUCACUUUAGUCCAAAAUAUUCAUAAAUUAUAGUAUGGCCCAAAACAUUUCAAAUGUUUGUAAAAACGUCCAACUCUGAAAUUUAAUACUUAUUAAAAUCAAAGAUUUCAAAUCUUAGCAUUUAAGUCCAAAUUACUCAAAUCCAUAAAAUACUUUACUUUAUAAAAAUAAAACCUUUUAGUUUAUGAAAAGUAUUUAAUUAAAUUAAUCUCUUGAGCUUCUCAAAUGCUAAAUCAUGCAUCAAUUAAAUCAUACCGGCUUUACAAGAAUUUAUUGCACUAAUUUGUUCGUUGAGCUCUAAACUAUAUUCUUGAUGUCGCCGUUGUCCGUUGAGUGUCUUUAAUCUUGAUUUCACUUGAUUCACUUGCAUAAAUAUUAUCCUUCAAAAGCUAGUGAAAAUGUGAAAUACAAUAUUUAUUAUUUUUACUUAAGACACAUGUUUGUUAUCAUCAAAAUUACAUUAUGUGUAGCCGUUUAGGCUAACAAACAUCUCUGUCUAUUAGAGCUUCGUUGUAGCUAGUGGGAUCUUAUACAUGUUCAACUGAGAUCGCCGUAUAGGUUUCUCUCAAUAACAUGUAUCUUGCAGGUAAACCUAGUUACCCUCCCACUACGACGAGGUUCUAAAAGUGAUGGUUGUUCAGGGAUAAUCCUGUGCUGAUCAAUUGGUUGUUGUUGUUCUUCCUGUUCUAUAACAAGUGUUGAAAGCUGAGUAUCAACAUGAUCUCUUUUAUUUCUCUAGUUUUACCUUACUCUUAGGUUAUAAGUAAUUAUAUAGUCUUCCUCAAAGAAAGUAAAGAAUAUGUCUAUAAAUACAUUCCUAUCUUGAGGACUAUAAUUCAGACUUUCCCCUUAUUCCUUUAAGAUACCUAAAACAUGCAAGCUUCUGAACACGAAUCCAUUUUCUCUACCUCUGAUUCUAGUACAAAUACUAGUAAUCUCCAAAUUCGAAUGUGUCUCAAACUAUGUUUGUGACUUUUUCAUAAUUUCUUGGAGUAAUAGACACCGAGAUAGACGAAACUAAGUUCAACAAACUUUGCGGUUUUAAAUACUAGUAUCUGGAAUAAAAAAGGUAAAUAAUAAACCACUUAGUAUAUAUCUUGUCUUAUCCAAAAGAAUCUUGUUUCUCCAUUUAAUUAGACUAUUGUAUCAUAGUAUUCUUUAACAACCAAAUAGAGCUUGAAUUCUCCAUAGAUAUAUUCUUUGUUUCGAUCAUAUCGAAGUUCUUUUAUGUUCCUGUCUAAUUGCUUCUGUCUUAUCCACGUACUCUUUUGAAUUUUAAAAGCAAUGAAAUCAUGACGCAUUUAGACAAACAUAAAUAAAAUGAAUAUUCAUCAACAAGAUUGAUAGAAUACUCAUAACCUCUUAUAACAUGUAAACUGAUUAGUCCGUAUACAUUUGUAUGUGCUAAAUCAUCCAAUACAAUGUUAUGCUUUGAUGGAUUUAAGCAUAGCAAUCGGAGAAAAGGUUUUCUCAUAAUCGAUUCCCUCUUUCUGAGUAAACCCUUUAGCUACUAAUCUUGCUUUAAAUGUUUCCAUCCUUCCGUCUACUCUUCUUUUUCUCUUGUAGAUUCACUUGCACCUUAUAGGUUUUACCCCAUUUUGUGCCUCUACAAGUUCCCAGACUUUAUUGGAAUACAUAGAUUCCAUUUCUUGAUUCAUGAUAUUUUUCCAAAAUUCAACAUCUCUGUUUAUUAGAGUUUCGUUGUAGCUCGUGGGAUCUUGUACAUGUUCAUCUAAGAUCGCCAUAUGGGUUUCUCCUAAUAACAUGUAUCGCGUUGGUAACCUAGUUACCCUCCCACUACAACGAGGUUCUAAAAGUGAUUGUUGUUCAGGGAUAUUCCUGUGUUGAUCAGCUGGUUGUUGCUGUUCUUCCUGUUCAAUAAUAGGUGUUGAAAGAUGAGAAUCAACCUGAUCUCCUUUUUAUUUCUCUAGUUUUACCUUACUCUUAGGUAAUAAGUCAUUAUAUAGUCUUCCUCAAAGAAAGUAAAGAAUAUGUCUAUAAAUACAUUCCUAUUUUGAGGACUAUAAUUCAGACUUUCCCUUAUUCCUUUAAGAUACUUAAAACAUGCAAGCUUCUGAACACGAAUCUAUCUUCUCUACCUCUGAUUCUAGUACAAAUACUAGUAAACUCCAAAUACGAAUGUGUCUCAAAUUAUGUUUGUGACUUUUUCAUAAUUUCUUGGAGUAAUAGACGUCGAGGUAGAUGAAACUAAGUUCAAUAAACUUUGCAAUUUUGAAUUCUAGUAUUUGGAAUAAAAAAGGUAAAUGAUAAACCACUUAGUAUAUAUCUUCUAAACGAAUCUUGUUUCUCCAUUUAAUUACACUAUUGUAUCAUAGUGUUCUUUAUAUGUGGGAGUUUAUCCCAUUUGACAACCAAAUAGAGCUUGAAUUCUCCAUAGAGAUAUUCUUUGUUUCGAUUAUAUCGAAGUUUUUUUUUAUGUUCCUGUUUAAUUACUUCUGUCUUAUCCACGUACUUUUUUGAAUUUCAAAAGCAAUGGAAUCAUGACGCAUUUAGACAAAAAUAAAUAAAAUGAAUAUUCAUCAACAAGAUUGAUAGAAUACUCAUAACCUCUUAUAACAUGUAAACUGAUUAGUCCGCAUACAUUUGUAUGCAUUAAAUCAUCUAAUACAAUGUUAUGCUUUUAGCUUAAAAAGAUCAUCCUCGUCAUAUUACAUUUCUAAAUAAGAUUUAUAGCGUUACAAUGAUCAAUCUUAAUACUUCAACAAACCUAUCAUUAAUCAUUUUCUUAAAAUCUUAUUAUAGUUUAUAUGACUUAAGCAUAAAUAUCAGAGGUGAUAUUGGUUAGAAGAAACAUUUCUUUUCUUAGAUAAAUGCAUAUACUCUUUAUCAUUAUAUCUUGCUUUGAAUAAAUCAAUGGACUUAUAUGAUAUAAAUUGUCUUUAUAAAUAACCAGAAUAAGUAAUAAAUAGAGGAUCCAAAAAUAACAAUGUACUCCUGUUUAUUAAAACAAGCCACCAAAAUUAAAUUCCUCUAAUAUUUGGAAAAAUAAAGACAAAUAUCAAAACUAAAGUCUUGUAAAAUUAAUCUAACCUUUCAAUUGAUAUAAACUAGCAUGUCAUCAACUGCUGUUUGAAGCUUUCUUUACUUAAUCUCUUGGUUUCUUGAAAACCAAAUAAAUGAAUUACAAAUAAGAUUAGUUAUCUCAGAAUUCACUAGUGCAUGAAUCAAUAGAUAUCUGAACUAAUUAGGAAGCUUAAAGAUUUCCUAUACCUGAUUUUAAUAAUCUUAGGACAAUCUUUCUUCCAGUGACCCUUCUGUCCACAUUUGUAACACUUGCCUUUUGGCUUGCCACUUCUUUUAGUGGACAGUUUGCCGAUCCCAACUCUUUCUUGCUCAUUCUUAUCUUUCGACUUAAGCCUUGAAGAGAAUCCUUUUUCAGGAAGUUUUCUGUUAUGAUAAAAUUCUUCUAUAGCAUGUAGUUCGUGCAUUAAUUCAAUUAAGGUCAUAUCUUUAUUGUUUAAGAUAUAGCUGACCUUAAACUCUUUGAAUGUAUCAGGCAAAGAUUCAAUCACCAUGUUAAUCUUUGUUUUAUCAUUGAUUUGAACACCAUGAAUCUCUACUUCAUUCAAAUAGUCCAUCAUUUUGAGGACAUGAUCAUGAACUCUUGUGCCCUUUUCCAUCUUAGUAUCCGUAAUACGUUUUAAUGCUGCUUCUCUGGCAAAAUGAGUAUUUUGCCCAAACAUCUGAUGAAGACUAGCCAUUAUUUCAGUGGUUGUUUCCAUGCUCCGAUGUUUCUUAUGUAGUUCCACAGAAAUCGAAGCCAAUAUAUAGCGCUUAGUUAUUUUCUUAGCUUCGCACCAUUUCUCAUAAGGCUCCCUCUGAUUUCUAUAAUCGUAUAACGAUGGUUCUGGAGGGCAAGGCUGGGUCAACACAUAUUUACAGCCCUUAGCAGUGAGAAUAUUAAAUAGAUUGCGUCUCCAAUCUAAAUAAUUUUCGCCAAUGAAUUCAUUUUUAACAAGGAUAAUUAAUAAUGGGUUGAUGGAAGACAUUUUCUGAAAAAACAAAAUAGACAUGCAUAAAUACUUUGAAACAGUAUUCACAAUAAAUGAUAAAAAUGCAAAAAAACAUAAAUGCAUUUUUAAUUUAUUGUAACGAUAAUCUAGUACCGCUUUGACAAGCUAUCCGUUGGGAAAGUCAUGUCUACACUUACUAGACCCAAUUAUCCAUUGAAUUAUUAACUUUUAUGUAGAGACAUGAUAAAUAAUUAUCGUUAUCCCUUUGGGCCUACAUUUGUUAACAGAGCUUCGUUGGGAAGGUUAAUAACAAAUUUUAGUAGAGUGUAUAACCAUUAUUUCAAUCUACAUAUUUUUUAUAUCAAUAGUCACCGUUGGGGUGAACAAUUGAUUGAAAAAUAUUUCAAUUUUAUCUUUGAAGAAGUUCAUCAAAUAAAAUAUCUAAUAUAUAUACCCUCCGUAAGGAGCAUCACCAUAUCAUGAAGUCGAGGUAUAUAUAUAAUUUUAUUAUUGAACUAAUAAUGGAGCCCGUGGGAAAAGUUAUCUUAAAUUUUCCCUCUCCCACUCAAUAUUUUAAAAUUAGUUUUUCAUUUUUAAAAAAUACAUAUUGUUAAUUGCAUGCUUCCUAUAAUAUUAUCUAGAUGAUGUCCAAUAUAAUUAAGCAUACACAAAUUACAAACAAUAUAAUGAGAUUCAUAAUUAAUGAAUGACAUGUAUCAUUAUGUAUAGAGUGACACUACCUAUUCUAUAUGACAUGUUAUCAUCCAAAACAUAACAUAUAGAAAAACAAUUAAAUAAUGUUAAUUCAUGGCUUUCCUAAAAUAGAAAAAUACAUUAACCCUAAGCCUAAUCUACAUUGGGCUUAUUGUCAAUGUCCAUCUUCCAUAGGCAUGUCUUUGUUAAUGGAUUAGGGGAAAUUGGGCUUUUAAAUUUAUUAUUGGUCCAAUUUUAAUUUUGAAAGGAAAUAAAUAAUAAUUUAAUUUUUUAAAAUAAAAUUUUUGGACCAAAAUAAAUUUAAUGUGUUCAAUUUUAUCUAUAUAUUUUAAUCCAUUAACCUCAACUUCAAUUGGGCCUAAAACUAAGAUUCAUUAAGUCCAAAACUGUUUUUAGACUUAAAUGCAAAAAAUUAAAAUUUUUCUGCCCAAAAGACAAAUUAUCGAACCAUAGGGAACUCCAUGAUAAAAAUCAUGAAAAACCUAAAAUCCAUAUUUUUCUUUAUCCUUCUUCCCCAGCCGUCAUCUCCACAAAGCAGCCACUGUUCAGGCCUUUCUCACUGGACAGCCGCCAUCAACGCCGAGUUUGCCGUUGCCGAUACGUCAGAAGGUCGCCAACGAACGACCUCCGCCAGCAGCCUGCGCGCACGCGCUUCCAACCCACGCUGCAGCUGCUGGUCGCACGCUGCAGCUGCUGGUCGCACGCUGCAGCUGCUGGUCGCACGCUGCAGCUGCUGGUCGCACGCUGCAGCUGCUGGUCGCACGCUGCAGCUGCUGGUCGCACGCUGCAGCUGCUGGUCGCGUGCUGCAGCUGCCAGCCACUACGCGCACGCGACAACUGCUGGGCGUGCAACGCGCGAUGCUGUUGCGCAUGGCUGCUGGCAGCAUGCUGUUGAAAUUUCUAGCAUCCAUUCCUUUAAUCUGUCGUCACGUGAUUAAUUCCAGUGAUAAUAAACCACCUCUCUUGUUACAGAUCCAAAGGAAAAAUACAACAGAGAAUCUAACCAUAAAUUAAGACAAACCAUAACAUGCUUUAUUCAUAUAUUAAACAAAUAAUAUAUAUCCGAAUAAAUUGUGCCACUCUAAUACAUAAAUAUCAAGAUUGAUUUCAUACGAAAUUCUUAUUUAUUAAUAUGAGAUGGCUCUAAUACCAAUUGUUGGAGAAAAACUAGUUUCAUAAUUUUAUAACAAAAACUUUUAGAUUCGCUCUCAUACAAUAUAUAAUAAUUUGUAAUUUAGAAAUCGUACCUUGAAAAUUCGAUUUGGCUUUUUCUGUUGAGGUCAUUUAGGCUCCCAGAUCACGAUCUGCCACCACCACUCCUGUCAGAUCACGAUCUGUCACCACCACUCAUGUUAGAUCAUGAUCCACCACCAAAUAAUCUUCCAGGCUAUGACUCAAGUUUGAUCUACGCUUGACGUGUGGGCGCUUUUAUAACCACUAAAGCAACUAGCACGAGAGAAUUUUUCUCUCAACAGUAGAGAGAAAAAUCUUUUUCUCUGAUCUGUAUAAAGUGACAGCUAUACCUCUCUUCAGAGAAAAUAAGCUUUUUUAUAUCUCAUUUUUAUACCUCCCACUAAAUAAUAUAUUUAGGCUUUUAACCCAAAUAGCUAGUUAUCUUGCUUAUUAAUCCAGUAGUGGUGCAGUCAAUUAAAUUAGCUAACCCGGGGAUUAUUUUGGAACAUACAAUAAUGGCUACAAUAAUUAGGCCUGUAAUUAAACUAGCCCAAUUAUUUAAUUCCAAAUCUACUCUACUAAAAGAUUGGAACUGACCUCCAUAAUUUUAUGCUCGAAUAAUAAUUCGUCCCAAGCCACAUCGAUUUCUUUACUGCUCGAUCCUUUGUACCACAUCGUUAAUUAAAUCGAUAUCUCAACUGUUCAAUCAAUUUAAUUACAUCUUGUUCCUUGAUACUUACUGGUUUUCUCUAAUGAUCAUUUUCAACAUACUAAAUAUGUUGACACACUCUGGCCAGAGAAUUCUAUGAUCAAGUGCCGAAAAGCCAUCAAGAGAUGCGUCGUACAAAUUCUAUAUUGUUAAUAUAUAACUCUAAUACUCAUAAUUGCUCCCACCAAGAUACCGGGUAAUCUUGACCACAAUUAUGUGUCGUGCCCAUUGGUAACUCAAAUGGAAUAACAAUUACAAUCAUGAAAUCAUAAGUAACUCAAGAUUAAGAUUACAGUAAAAUCAAUGCCUAUGAGAUUUAAUAAGCCUGACAGUCAUUUCAAGGUUAAUUAAAUCUCAUAUGUGAUCCAGCUCAAUGUAGUCAAACUACAUCAGUAAAUUCAUACAUGAUUAAGACAAAUCAUUCAAUGAAUUUGCUACAGUUUAAACAUAAAUAGAGCGCCCAACUCUAUUUAUCAACUGCGAACUAAAUUUAUUUAAUCAUAAGAUAACUUGUAUUUAUGUCUUCUGUGAAUCCAUAUGAUGAUCACAUAAAUACAUAUAAUAUGAUUAAACAGACCUUAUUCAAAAUAUUUAUGCAAUUGAAAAUAUCUCAAAAAUUUUAUUAAUCAGAAAAGAAAUUAAUAUGCUUUAAAAGAGCAUAUAAUCCCAACAAUAAGUACGUGAAAAAGAAAGUUUAUAACAUUGUAAAUUGGUUCACGAACUAGAAGCUAACUCCACCUACAUAGUUUAGUGAACAACUAUAAAAUUGUAUCCAACAAUGGCAUCGCCAAAUUUAAGAGCCAUCCAAUACUUCUAGGCAAUAGGAAAACACCAGUGCCGCUGACAAUGGGCAUCUCGUGGACAAAAGUCCUCAACCUGUUGUUGCCAAGGAGGCUGAUACAAUUGCCAUUAUUAGGACCAUCAACGAACACAAAACUCAUGGACAUAAGGAGGCCUAGUUGAUCCUGACAACUAACCUGUAAAGCCCUUGAGCACGACCAACAAGCAUUGAUUGAGGAUCCAUAGUUUCUGUCAAUGAAUCAUCUGCCAUCAUUACAACGCCGAAACGAGUUGAUGACUUGUAAAUGUCCGUGGCUUGAGCAAUCUUUUUGCCACUGAGUGUUUGUUGUUGUCUUUUUUGCAAAAUCAAGCCCUGUAGCCCAAGUCUCUCUGCUUGAAAUGCUGUUGCUGCCACCUGACUAAUGAUGAGCAAUAAAACAACUGCUGAUAACAUUGCAGUAGCUGUGAAACAAGACCUGAAAUUAAAAGGAAGGCAAUAGAUAAAACACUUUUGAAGUUAAAAAAGAAUGAUGAUUCGAGAUUCAUUUAAAGGGUUUAUGAAGUGUUGUGAUCAAUGAAUAUUCAAAGGUUGCUUAACUACAAAGGGGAAGUGGGAAGAAAUUUUGACAAAUUGUUAUAUUGAGCUGGCAAGCACAUGUAUAUGAGGGGCGCCACUUGUACACAUAAAGAGGGAAGAUUAAUUGCUCCUGGUUUCUUAUUAGGAGAAAAGAGUGACUUGCUUAAAAUAUAAGAUGUGGUUAAUUUCAUUUAAGGACAUGGCUCAUAGAUAGGCAUGGCAAAAAAAAACCCUAGUUUCGCACAUGAGGGUAUGGACAAGGGCUUAGGAAAAAAAGCCCAAGCCAAGCCCAAGCCCUCUAUUUUUUUUUGAAAAACUAAAUUUAGAAAUUAGAAUAAUAAAAUCAAAUUUGAAAAAUAAUGAAAAAAUAGAAAAAAGUAAGCUUAAAUUCCUAAUUUAUAUAUCAAUAAUGAAUAAAAAAACUUAAAAUUCUAAUACUAAACUUUCUUUUAAGUGUUAAUUAGUUAAGAGAGUGCUUGAAUCAAAGAAUUCAUUACUAAAAAAAAAAAUCUCUAAAUUUUAUUUAUUUUAUUUUCUUUAUUAUUCAUUAUUGAUUAUAACAACUUGAUUAUUAUUAACUCAUUUCAAGUUUACAACAAUUUUUAAAAAUUUUAAAAAAAUAAGUAAAAGCCCAAGUGCAGCCCAUGCCCGCAGCGGGCCUAGCCUACACCCACUCCUUGUACUUCUUAUUUAAUGGGCUUGGGUCUAGGCUUAAAAAAGUCCAGUGCAAGCCCUUAAUUUGCCAAACCUACUCAUAAAAACAUCUUUAUAUAUUAAAAAAAAGAAAGAAAUCUAAUAAUAAAUUAAACAAAAGAUAACACUAAAAAUGAUAAAAUUAAUUAAUAUAUGUUGAAAUUAUCUUCAUAAUGCAGCAAGAUAUUAAAAUCAAUAGAUAAUGCAAACAAAUGAAGCGUAAUUUAUUUAAUACUCGUUUAUGGAAUCUUAAUAUCUGCUUUUAGGGUGAGGUUAUUGGAUCCUUUGAAAAAAAAUAAAUCCUCAUUUUAUCGAAAUCUUAUAUUACUAAGCUAUCUGAUUUAAUUUAAGGGUAAACUUCAAUGUUUCCCCUGAGAAUCUUCAACUUACCCUCAUUUACUAUUAAGAACACCAAUAAAAAGUUGAUCAAUGUACCGUCAUUUAUGGUUAUCAUCUAAACAAAAGUUAGAGUAGAUUAAGGCUUCCAUACUUUUGGAGGGUAAAUUGAAGAUUGUUAUUGGGAGGGGAUGAAUUGAAAUUUACCCCAUUAAUAUAACAAAAUUUUAUUUUUGACAUGUAUUCGACUCAUCUACUAAAUGUACAAUAAUCUUUCUAUGAUUAGAUGAAUAUUUUGAUGAUGUUCUAAGAGACCCAUUUGCAAAUUGCAUCCAAAAUGAAAAAAUCAUUUAAAUAAAGAAAUGAGCAAUUUGUUAGCUAGUUACAAUUAUUAAGGAGCACAACGCAAUUCACAGUGUCAUAGUAAUCAGAAUUUUUUAUUUCAUCAUCACAUGAAAAUAGAAAAUAUUGGCUUUUUAAUUUAUUCUAUUUUAUUUUAUUUUAUUUCAAAAAAAUUGUUGGAAAUUACAAAAUAGUCUAAAUAAUUGUUUUUAAAAGCAAAUAUGUAUUUUUUUAUUUAUUUGAUAUAGUUAGCUUGACUUUAAUUUAAUAAAUAUUUUUGUAACUGAAAUUUAGAUACUUAUUUAUUUUUGUUAUUUAGCUAAAUAAUAUAAUUUUUAUAUUUAAUUGAUGACUUAAAAUGUGUUAGUGUAUUAAUUUGUUAAUUUUUAUGUAGCUUGUAAAAUAAGAAUUUUUUUUUUAUAAGAAAACAAUGGAAGUAGCGAUAAGAAUUAAGAUUAAUAAUGUAAUGAUGCAAAUUAUGGACAUCAUGAUGUCGGAUCCGACAAAUUCAAGACUUGGAUGUGGUUAUCAUGAAGAAUAACAUGUAGGAUUGAUUGGUACAAGGAAUCUUAGAAGUGUUGUCCGUUUUCAAGUUUUCUUGUUUUGUCUUUCUUAUGUAAUGCUCUUGAGAUGUUGUGAAUUAAACAAAUACAAGUUCCCGCUUAUGCACUCUUAUCAUAUAGGAAGCAUCAUAAACAAAAGAAACAAAAUUCUCAAAUUGGGUGACCAAAAAUACUUGAAACAAUAAAUCAAGUCUUUGGAACAAGUAAAGGAUUCAAAACUAUUGUGUGGAUUGAAUAGAGAAGUAAGAGCAAAUAGAAAACUCAACAUAAGAGGCACGUAACAAGAUAUGGCUAAAAGAUUGUUACAAGUGAAUAAAAGUUAUAGAUUUUAUUUCAAAAUUAAGUUCAAACUAUAAAUUCAAGAGUUAGUGCUUAAUUUUCUAGACGAAAAUGUCCUUUAUCAAUUUCAUUCGAAAAACACACCAAAAUCGAAGUUAUAUUUUUGCACUCCUCUCUCAAAUAAAUUCUUUCUAACUUAGACUUCAUGUAAUGGAGUUCCAACACUAGUUUUUAGUUCACCGAAGUAGUGAGAUUAUGUUGCCGAGACUAUUUUACUUUGUAAUAUCCUAAGGGAUUGAUGUUAAUAUAACCUAAGUACUACUAAGAAAGUGGCAAAAACCUAAGUACUACUAAGAAAGUGGUGAAUCUGUUUUAAAUUGUAACUGCUCAUCCUCAGUUUAAUUUAUGUUCUUAUCUUUGUUGUUAAUAUAUACUAGGGAAAUUACCUGUGCAAAACUUCUGUUUUAUCAUAUGUACAUCUAAUCACUACAAAAUUUUAACGUGUUCUUUGCACAACCCUUGAUUCUAAACUUGUAUCAAUCAAUUACUUUAACACUAAGAGUUUAAAUAAAAUGCAUGUUUUAAUCCUAAAUGAAUUAAAGGACCAUUUUAUCCAACAAAAUUUUUAAAAAUAAAAAAUUAAUUAAAAUAUACCAACUAUUUAAACUAGGAGUGGGCAAAAAAAAACUGAUUAAUAAAAAACGGAACCGUUCCGAACGGUUCGGUUCGGUUCGGUUUUUGUGCGGUUUUUUUGCAUCUAAAAAACCAAAUGAAUAAUAUAAUAAAAAUAGUAAAACCAAUCGGUUCGGUUUAAAAAAAAAACCAAAAAACCGAACCGGAUAUCAAAUAAAUCGAAUGUCAAAUAACAAUCCCUAAAGUCUAAAGUCUAAAGUCUAAACUCUAAAGUCUAAACCAAACAAGGCUAAACUCAUGACCUUCACCCGCAGCACCUUCAGCCGCUGGAAUCUCGUCCCCGCUGCUCGUCGCCGUCGUUGCAAUCUCAUCGUCGCCACUACUCGUCAGUCGUCACCGCUGGUCGUUGCUGCUGUCACGGUGCUCCCCUGCUGCCAUUAUUUGUCUGAAUACAGUGGGCUCACCGCAAAGAUUUUUAUUUUUUAACACUACGAUCAAAUAUUGAUUUCUCUCUCUUCCUCUUUAGCAUUUCUGGGUUCUUUUGUUUUUGUCAACAAAAUCUCUCAGCAGAACAAAAAAUCGAACGAAAAAGGUUCCAUUUUUCGUUUCGGUUUUAUGAAUUUGGUUUAAAGUUCAUUUCUUUUUCCUCGUUCCCAUGUUUUUGUUAAUGUGCUUGAGUUAUGUAAAUAUCGCUGCCGUUUUUGGCUCUCAUUUCUCUGGUUUGUUCUGUUUUUGCAGAGAAUAAAAACCAAUAACUUGAGCUGCUACUGAUUGUUUCGUGUUUCGUUUCGUAAUUUGUUGAGGUUCGUUCACUUGAGAUGCUGUAUUUAGUUAUACCCGAGACUACUAAUUUGUAUACCAAAAUUGAUUUUUGAUUUUUGAUUCAUUCUUUUGUUUUUUCUUUUCCCCCAUUUGGGUGAGAUAUGGUUUGUUUCUUUGACUAAAAGAUGAUUGAAUGAUUGGUUUUUUCGGUUUUUUCAGUUUCUUUUCCCAAAUCGCAAACUGGAUACUGUUGAGAUUGAUCAUGAUUUUUAUAUCUUUGAGUUGUGUUUGAAAAUGUUCUCUAUAGUGUGCGGUGAAUUGCCGGUGCUGUCUUUACUACUGAUGAAAACUAAAGCAAGUUCAAACACGUCUCAUUCAUAACUUUUUAAGUUUGUAUAUUCAUAACUAAAUGAAUUAAUCAAAAACGCUAGCAAGUAUUAAUUUUCUGCAACAGGUUCAGACAAAAACAUUUUCCAGCUGAUUCUGCUAACUAACUCUAUAUGGAUCCUUAAUUAAACUAUAAUAUUAAUUGAUUUUUUGGUUAAUUUUUAUUUUUUAGAGGCUUCCACCUAUGAUUUGACACAUGUACCAACAAUCACGAAAAUGGGGAUAAUAAUAAAAGCAGUAAAAGAUUAAAAACUUUUAACUAAGAAACAAAUCGUUUGUUUAAAUAAAUUUUUAUCUAUUAUGUACGGGUCUUUAUUCAAUUAGUCUUGUCUCCAAUUUUGUCCCGGCCAUUUUUGUACAAAUAUAAUGUAAUUUUCAUAAUUCGACAGAUGUGAUCAAAAUAAACAAGAGCUUUUUGCUUAUUUAUUUUGAUUUGAACUUGUUAUUUGAACAUGUUAUGUGUUGUUGAACAUACUUUGAGACAUAUUUUGAUUUUUUGUUUGUUAACUUUUUAUGUUCGUGGUAGAUAUAUUAAUUUAAGGUUUUAAAUUUUAAAAAGCCCAAAAUAAGUCCAAUAGGCCCAUAAUCGAAAUAAUCAAACCGAAUCGAAUCGAAUCGAAUUAUUUCGAUUAAUCGAGUAUUUGAUUAUUUCGGUAAUUUGAUUAAUCGCGAUUAUAAUUUUAAAAUAAUCGUAAUCGAACGAUUAUGAAAAAUUUAGUAAAAAACCAAACCGAACUGAACCGCGCCCACCCCUAAUUUAAACUUUACUGUCAAAGUGGUUGAUUGAUAUAUAUCAAAAGUUUAGAAACAAAUUGGUGUAAAGAAUAUAUCAAAAAUUUGUAGUGGUUAGACAUACGUAUGACAAAAUAGAGGUGGUAUAUGGAUAAUUUCCCUACAUACUAUUGUAAUAUAUUAACGUUAUUUCAAUUGUUAUUAUAAUCUUAUGACAAGUGUGUAACUAGCUUACUAGUAAACUUAACUUACUCUAGAAAAAUUCUAUAACAAAAGUACUGUCUAAAAUAUCUGGAUUUUAAGUAGGACCAUUUGUGACCCUUCUAGUUUUUCCUAAGAACUUAAUUGGUAUAUUUUUUUUCAAAUAUUAUGGACUGUUUUAUAUCUUUUACUAGCAAUAAUUUUCUUACGUAUACUUCCAAACUUUACUAUUAUAUAGCUUUAAGUUGAAAGGACUUUGGAAUCAACUCACCUACCAAAAUCUAUGCAAGGCGAUAAUGAUACCGAGAGCAUAUAUAAAUAAAGACAAGUCAGCCGAAAUGAAGCUGUCUUCACUGUAACUGGGUCUUUACUUUUUAGGUACGACAAAGGUGGGCACUGGCCUCGUUGCUUAUACGUACCAAAACGUCAUAUAGAUUUUUAUUUCUUUUCCCUUUUCGAAGCACCAACAGAUUGUUGAUUAAUGCCAAAUGCAUAGUAAUGUGGUCAGACACCUAGACUAUAGAAAAAUAAUGAAGUUUAAAAUGAUAGACCAGAUUGCUGAAGUGUUAACAUUAUAUUGAAAUCCAAUAUUUGGCUACCAACAAGCACACAUUAUAUAAAAAUGAUUAAAUAAGCAUACUAACAUAAAAUGAAAUAAUAAAACCAAACGACAGAGCACAUGUUUUGGAAAAGUUUACUCUCCAAUCCACCACUAAUUAAGCAAAAGCAAGUCACUGUCAUUCCAAGGAAACAUACAUAACCAGUCACCUACUUAGGAAUAAUUUUUCAAUCCGGGAAUCUUGAAGUUUUUUUUAAAUAAAUCAGUUUACAAUUUUAUAAGUAUGUGAAAAAGAAAGUUUUAUAAGAUUGUAAAUUGGUUCACGAACUAGAAGCUGACUGCACCUACAUAGUUUAGUGAAAUCUAUAACAUUGUAUCCAACAAUGGCAUCACCAAAUUUAAGAUCCAUCCAAUGCGCCUGCGCAAUUGCAUAUCCGCCACCAAACCGGAAAAUGCCAAUGUUGCCAUCAAUGGGCAUUUCACGGAUUGGACUCAUCAACUUGUUGUUGCCGAGGAGGCUGAUACAGCAGCCAUUAUUAGGACCAUUGAUGAACACAAAGCUCAUGGACAUGAUGAGGCCAAGUUGAUCCCGACAACAGACUCGUAAAUCCUUUGAGCACAGCAAAUAAGCUUUGGUUGAGGAUCCACGGUUUCUGUCAACGGAUCAUUUGCCUUCAUUACAAUGCCGAAACAAGUUGCUGACUUUUAAUGUGAGUGGCUUGAGCAAUCUUUUUGCCACUACGUGUUUGUUGUUGUCUCUUUUGCAGAAUCAAGCCCUGUAACUCAAGUUUCUCUACCUGUAAUGCCGUUGCUGUUGAGAAAAUAUGCUCUUUAAAAGCAUAUGUGUUUAUUUAAUUGUAAUAAAUAUUUUUUCUGGUUAAUAAAAUUAAUGAGGUAUUUUAUUCAAAUAUCUUAAUUGCAUAAAUAUUUUGAAUAAGGUCUGUUUAAUCAUAUUAUAUGUAUUUAUGUGAUCAUCAUAUGGAUUCACAGAAGACAUAAAUACAAGUUAUCUUAUGAUUAAAUAAAUUUAGUUCGCAGUUGAUAAAUAGAGUUGGGCGCUCUAUUUAUGUUUAAACUGUAGCAAAUUCAUUGAAUGAUUUGUCUUAAUCAUGUAUGAAUUUACUGAUGUAGUUUGACUACAUUGAGCUGGAUCACAUAUGAGAUUUAAUUAACCUUGAAAUGACUGUCAGGCUUAUUAAAUCUCAUAGGCAUUGAUUUUACUGUAAUCUUAAUCUUGAGUUACUUAUGAUUUCAUGAUUGUAAUUGUUAUUCCAUUUGAGUUACCAAUGGGCACGACACAUAAUUGUGGUCAAGAUUACCCGGUAUCUUGGUGGGAGCAAUUAUGAGUAUUAGAGUUAUAUAUUAACAAUAUAGAAUUUGUACGACGCAUCUCUUGAUGGCUUUUCGGCACUUGAUCAUAGAAUUCUCUGGCCAGAGUGUGUCAACAUAUUUAGUAUGUUGAAAAUGAUCAUUAGAGAAAACCAGUAAGUAUCAAGGAACAAGAUGUAAUUAAAUUGAUUGGACAGUUGAGAUAUCGAUUUAAUUAAUGAUGUGGUACAAAGGAUGGUGCAGUAAAGAAAUCAAUGUGGCUUGGGACGAAUUAUUAUUCGAGCAUAUAAUUAUGGAGGUCAAUUCCAAUCUUUUAGUGAAGUAGAUUUGGAAUUAAAUAAUUAGGCUAGUUUAAUUACAGGCCUAAUUGUUAUAGCCACUAUUGUAUGUUCCAAAAUAAUCCCCGGGUUAGCUCAUUUAAUUGACUGCACCACUACUGGACUAAUAAGUAAGAUAACUAGCUAUUUGGGUCAAAAGCCUAAAUAUAUCAUUUAGUGGGAGGCUCCAUUUAAUUAGCUUGUGUGUAAGGGGCCUUAUGUUAUUUUACAAGGUGGGUCCCCUAUAGAAAAACCAAGUAACGUAAGUUUUGUUUUUUGAUUAUUUGGAGCCUAGGGUUUUCACUAAAGGGAGAUAUAAAAGGCUUAUUUUCUCAAAAAGAAAAUAGAGCAGCCACUUUAUGCAGAUCGGAGAAAAAGAUUUUUCUCUCUAUUGUUGAGAGAAAAAUUUUCUCGUGCUAGUUGCUUUGGUAGUGAUAAAGGCGCCCACACGUCAAGUGCAGAUCGAACCUGAGUCAUAACCUGGAAGAUCAUUGGUGACAGUUCGUGAUCUAACAAGCGUGGUGGUGACAGAUCGUGAUCUAACAGGAGUGGUGGUGGCGGAUCGUGAUCUAGGAGCCUAAAUCACUUCAACGGACAAAGCCAAAUCGGAUUUUCAAGGUACGAUUUCUAGAUUACAAAUUCUUAUAUAUUAUAUGAGAGCGAUCUUCAAAAGGUUUUAUAAAAAAUUUAAAAACCUAAUUUUUCCCCAACAGUUGCUGCUGCCAGGCUAGUGACGAGCAAUAAAACAAUUGUUAAUAACAUUGCAGUAGCUCUAUAACAAGACCUGAAAUUGAAAGGAAGCGAAUUGAUAAAGCACUUUUGAAGGUAAAAAGGGAUGACGAUUUGAGACUCAUUUAAAUGGUUUCUGAAGUGUUGUAAUCAAUUAUUAUUCAAAGAAUGCUUAACUACAAAGGUGAAGUGGUAAGAAAUUCGACAUUUUGUUAUAUUGAGCUGCCUAGCAGAUUCAUACGAGGGGCUCCACUUGUACUCAUAAAAAGGGAAGGUUAAUUACUCCUUGUUUCUUAUUAGGAGAAAAGAAUGGCUUGCACAAAAUAUAGAAUGUGGUUAUUUUCAUUGAAUCUUUCUAUCAUAGAGUUCACAUGAUGGAGUUCUAACAUCUGUUUGAAGUUCAUCAGAGUAGUGAGGUUUUUCUACUGAGACUAUUUGAUUUUGUAAUAUCCUAAGUUUAAUUUAUGUUCUUCUCUUUCUUAUUAAUAUAUACUAGAGAAAUUAUCUCUGCACCAACUCUGUUUUACCAUAUAUACAUACAACCACCACAAAAUGUUAACAUUUUCGUUGCACAACCUUCAUUUCUAAACAUGUAUUAAUUGACUAAUUUGACAGUAAGAAUUUAAAUAAAAUGGCCAUUUUACCCGUAAGUGAUCUAAAAGACCAUUUUAUCCCACAAAACUUUUAAAUAAAAAAUUAUAAUUACCAUUUAAUUAAUUGAUAAAAUAUUAUUGAAAAGACCAAUGUGCGAGUACUAUUUAAUUAAUUGAUAAAAUAUUAAUAUUUUUUUAAUUCUUUUGGCCUAAAAAAUGUGUAAUUCUCAUUUCAAAUAAUUUUCAUUGUUUAAAUUAAUCACCAAAAUAAUAAUAGUCCUAACCAAUUUUGAAUAAUAAAAAGAUUAUAAAUUACAAAAUGUAUCGAGUAAAAAUUAUAAUUAUAAAAAUUAACAUCUUAGAUUUUGAGAUUUAUUUUUCUAUUAAAAGUAGAGGUAUUUUUGUAAUUAUAAUUUUUUUUUCAAAAAUAAUGUAGGAUAAAAUAGUCUUUCAAUUUAUUUAAGGAUAAAAUGAUCAUUUUAUUUAAAUUCUUAGUGUCAAAGUAGUUGACUGAUAGAACUUUAGAAACAAAGUUGUGAAAGAACAUGUUAAAAAUUUAUGGUAGUUAGAUUUACGUAUGACAAAACAGAGGGUGGAGUAGAGAUAAUUUCCCCAUGUACUAUUGUAAUAACGUUAUUUAACAAUUUUGUUACUAUAAACUUAUGAAAAGUGUGUAGCUAGUUUACUAGUAAACGUAAGCACUCUAGAAAGAUUCUACAACAAAAGUACUACCUGAAAAAUCUAGAUUUUAAGUAAGGCCAUUUGUGACCCUUUUAGUCUUCUCUAAGAACUCAACUGGCAUAUCUUUUCAUACACUAUGGAUUGUUUUACGUCACUUACUAGUAAUAAUUUUCUAACAUAUACUUCCAAACUUUACCAUUAUAUAGCUUGAAGUUCAUAGGACUUUGGAAUCAAAGCAUUUACAACAAUCUUUGCAGGGUGAUAAUGAUGCAGAGAUCAUCUAUAAAAAAAGACAAGUCAACUGAAAUGAAGGCGACUUCAACUUAAUUAGGGUCUUCACUUUUAAGGCACUACAGGGGUGGCCAUUGCCCUCGUUGCUUUUAUGUACCUUAACUUCAUAUAGAUUUUUACUUUUUUCCAUCCCCUUUUUGGAGCACAAUUAGAUUGUCAAUUAAUGCCAAACGCAUAAGAAUAUGGCCAGAUACCUAGAUUAUGGAAAAACAAUGAAGUUUAAAGUGAUACAUCUGACUAUUGAAGUAUUAACAUUAUAUUGAAGUCCAAUAUUUGGCUACGAACAAGCACAUAUUAUAUUAAAACAAUUAAAUGCGCAAAAUAACAUAAAAUAUAAUAAUAGAACAAAACGACAGAGCACAUGUUUUGGAAAAGUUUAUUCUUCAAUCCACCACCAAUUAAAUAGAAGCAAGCCAUUAUAAUUCUGAGUAAACUUACAUCAAUCACCUACUUAGGAAUAAUUUUUCAAUCCGGGAAUCUUGAAUUUUUCAUAAAAAAUCAGUUUACAAUAUUAUAAGUACGUGAAAAAGAAAGUUUAUCUUGUAUGAGUGCUUUUUGCAUUACCGAUCAAUUGUAGUGAAAUCGAAACUGUGUUUUAAUAAAAGAAUAAAUUAAUCCAUUUUGAGCACAUAAUGUUAUGUCAUAUGUUUUUUUGUGUGUGUAUCUCCUGUUGAUUUGUUGUAUACAUAUCGUUGUAUCAAUUUUUGAGAAAUUAGUUUGUUUAAAAAAAAAUAAUGGUUAGGCGAUCAUAAUAAUUAUGUUUGUAAUGCUUGCAGUAUUUAAAUUUUAAGCCCAUCUACUCUUAGGGGUGGUUAUUGCAUCCUAAGACAUUUUAUCGAAAUCUUAUUUUACUUAGCUAUCUGAUUUAAUUUAUGGUGUGUUUACUUGAUAGAAUGAGAAUGUGGUGGAAUGAGAAUGAUGAAUGAGAAUGAGAUUCCAAUGUUUACUUGGCAAUAAUAAAUGAGAAUGGGAAUGUGCUAGAAUGCCAUUGAUGUGUUUACUUGGCAAAAUAAAUGGGAAUGAGAAUGUGCUGGAAUGCCAUUGAUGUGUUUACUUGGCAAAAUAAAUGGGAAUGAGGAAUGUGAAUGAGAAUGAGAAUCAAUUUACCAAAAUACCCAUAGUAUUAAAUAAUGUAAUUUUCAUUAACUAGAUACAUGUAUAUAUAUUAUUAUAAAAAUGAUAUUAAUUAAAAAAUAUAAUUAAUAAUAAUAAUAAAUGUUAAUAAUGAUAAUAUUAAUAAAAAUAAUUAAUAAUAACUAAAAUAAUAAAGUUAAUAAAAUUUAAUAAUAAUAAUAAUGACAUUUAAUAUAAUAAAAUUAUAGGGAUACAAAAGUUAGUUCAGGGAAUGGGAAUCCUCAUUCCCAACCCCCCAUGGGAAUGAGAUUCCUAUUCCUUAUUCCCAAAUUGUGUGGGACCCAUAUAUUUUAUUCCUAUUCUCAAAUUAUAUUUUGCCAAGUAAACAUGAGUUUAAUUCUCAUUCCUUCAUUCCCAUUCCCUAAACCCUCAAGUAAACACACCAUUAAUGUUAAAGUUUAAUGUACCCCGUGGGAAUCUUCAACUUACCUUCAUUUAUUGCUAAGAAAACAAUUAAAAAGUUUAUCAAUGUGCCCCCCUUUAUGGUUAUCUUUGUUAGCCUAAAGAGGUACACAUAAUGUAAUUUUGAUGAUAACAAAUAUGUGUCUUAAGUGAUUUAAUAAAUACUGUAUUUCACAAGUUCACUAGUUCUUGAAGGAUAAUGUUUAUACAAGUGAAUCAAGUGAAAUCAAGUUCAAGGCACUCAACGGACAACGGCGCAAUAAAAAAUAAAGUUUAGAGCUCAAUAGACUAAUUAUUGUGACAAAUUCUUGUAAAGCCAGUAUGAUUUAAUUGAUGCAUGGUUUAACAUUUGAGAAGCUCAAGAUUUAUUUAAAUCAUUACUUUUCAUAAACCAAAAGGUUUUAUAUUUAUAAGAUAAAGUAUUUUGUGGAUUUGAGUAAUUUGGACUAAACUAAAAUUUUUUUGCUAUCUUUAAUUUUAAUAAGUAUUGUUUUGAAUUCUCGAUUUGGACUUAUUUGCAAACAUUUGAAACAAUUUAGGCUAUUUUAUAAUUUAUGAAAAUUUGAGGACUUGAGUGAAAAUAUUCAAAAAGGGAUAGAGAGUUAGCGGCUAACCGCUUGAGGGCUAGAGGCUAGCCGCCUGAGGAAAAUCUCAUAUUUGCAAAUUUUAGACUAAAUUGAAAGAUUUUGAGAACUUUGAAAUUUAUAAGUAUUAUGUUAAAUUUUAAAGACGACCUCUUUGAAAACUAUUAUUAUAUUUUGGGUCAUAUCAUAAUUUCAAAAAAUUUUAGGAAUAACAAAUAUUAUUUAGAAAUUCUGAAAUGGGACCUGUUUGUAAAGUUAUGUGACGUCUUAGGCUAUAGUAUAAUUAUAGAAAGUUUUGGGCACAAUUGUAAUUUCAUGAAUAAUAUUACUGUAGCAAAAUUCAAAUUUAACGGUAACUUUACUGUUUUGAAGCGGCGAGUCGGAUAAAUUAAGCGGCUAGGCACUUGCUCGCUGGAAUUUACCCAUAACAGCUAGUUUUCGGGUUUUGGCUAUAAAAACUCAACUCCAACUUCAAUUUAAAGUGUCUUGAAAGCAUAAACAAUUGAAAAUAACAUAUUUUGAACUUCUAAAUUCGAAAAUCAUCAUAGAUUAAAUCUUCAUUGAGCUAUCAUUUGUAUAUCCACUCUAAAAGAGAGUUGUUGUUGUAAUUUUCAUUUCACAUCAAAUUGUGAGUAUACAAGUGUGAGAAACACUUUGGGUGAAGAGAUUGGGAGAUAGUCUCUUGAUUGUAAAGGUUUAUUGACACCUUGGAAGUCAAUUGUAAAGAAUUUGAAGUCUUGGGAGGCUAGCAUAGUGAAAUCCUCAAGUCCGGUGUGCUUGGAGGCGUGGACGUAGGCGGGGAUUGUCGAACCACGUAAAAAUCCUUGUGUUUGUUUUUCUCUUCCCUUACUCUUUUAUUAUUGUGCUUUAUUAAAUUUAUUGUUUUUGAUUUCAUUAAGGGAAUAGAUUGAAUUAUUGUGUGUUUUGUUUAGCUUAAGUUUUAAAAACCCAAUUCACCCCCCUCUUGGGUUGCCUAGUUAGGAUUUCAAUCUUCUUGGCAAAAUUAGGGUAGAUUGAGAUUUUCAAGCUUUUGGCGGGUAAAUUGAAGAUUGUUAUUGGGAGGGGAUGAAUUGAAGUUUGCCCAAAUUAAUAUAAAAAAAAUUUCAUAUUAUUUUUGACACGUAUUUGCCUCAUCUAUUGAACAUGCAAUCGUCUUUCUAUGAUUAGAUGAAUAUUAUGAUGACACUCUAAGAGACCCAUGUGCAAAUUGCAUCCAAAAUGAAAAAAUCGUGUAAAUAAAGAAAUGAACAAUUUGUUGGCUAGUUACAAUUAUUAGGCAGCACAAUACAGGUCAUAGUUUCACAGUAAUGGGAAUUUUUACUUCGUCAACAACUGAAAAUAAAAAAUAUUGUUUUUUUAAUUUCUUCUAUUUUAUUUAAAAUAAAGUUGUUGGAAAUUACAAAGUAGUUUAGAUAAUUUUUUUUAAAUGCAAAGACGUAUUCUUUUAUUUUAUUUCAGAUAGUGAGUUUGACUUUAAAUUUAUAUAUGCUUUUGUAAUAUUAUAAUAUUUACAUUUAAUUAAUGACUUAAAAAGUGUUAAUGUAUGAAUACGUUAAUUUUUUGCAGAUUGCAAGAUAAUAAUUUUUUAUAAUAAAAUAAUGGAAGCAAAUAUAUGAAUUAAGAUUGGUAAUGUAAUGAUGCAAAUUUGAACAUAAUGAUGUUGGAUCCUACAAAUUCAAGACCUGGAUGUGGUUGUCACUUAGAAUAACAUGUCGAAUUAAUUGUUACAAGGAAUCUUAACCAAUGUUCUUCGUUUUCAACUUUUCUUGUUUUGUCUUUCUCCUGUAAUGCUCUUGAGAUGUUAUGAAUCAAACAAAUAUAGGUUCCGAAUUAUGCACUCUUAUUAUAUAGGGAGCAUCAUAAAUGGAGGAAGAAAAAUUCUCAAAUUGGGUGUCCAAAAAGACUUGAAACAAUGAAUUAAAUCUUUUGGAGAAGUAGGGGUUUCAACGCAAUUGUGUGGAUUGAAUAGAGAAACUGUAGCAAAUAAAAAACUCAACAUGAAAGGCACGUAACAAAAUACAGCUAAAAGGUUCUUACAAGUAAAUAAAAGUUAUAAAUUUUAUUUUGAAAUUAAAUUCAAAUAAUAAAUUCAAGAGUUAGUGUUUCGUAUUCUAGACGAAAGUGCCCUUCACCAAUUUCAUUUAAAAAACACACCAAAAUCCAAGUAAUUUUUUUCCUUUCCUUUGUUAGUAGAGGUGGGCACGGUUCGGUCUGGUUCGGUUCGGAUCGAAAUUAAGUAGAACUGAUUUAAAUCAGUUAUUUUAUAAAAAGAACCAAAUAAGAACUGAACUCAAUAAAAACCGAACAUAAACGGAUCUUUUCGGAUAGGUUCGGUUUGGUUUUUUCAGUUUUGGGCCUAUUGGGUCUAUUUUGAAUUUAUAAAUUUUUAGCCCAUUAGGCCUCAUGAAUGUAAUAAUUUUUUUCAACAAUUAAUUUAUCCUAAUUUCAUUACAAAUAUUAACAAUAAAUACAAAGUAUUCAAAACACAUUUUAUCACUAAUAUCUCACUAACUAUUAAUAAGGUACUUACAAAAUAUGAAAUAUUAAGAUUUCAAAAUACAUAAUCAAACUUCAAUACUCCAUCUACAUAAAUAUAACGUUGUAAAGAUAAAUAAAAAUAACAACAAUUAAAACUUACAACACAAAAUAAAAAGAAAAUUUGGAAACAAACACCAACAACAAUUUUUAAAUAUAUAUAUACCUGUAAUCGUGUGUGGCAUGCCUAUUUUAGUUAUCUUACGCAACCAAUUAAAAUUUAACACGUGUCUAUUUAAAUAAAAUUCCAAGAAUAAUCCGGUUUUUCGGUUCAGCUGAGUGAACCUAAUACCGAACCUGCAUUUCAGUUUUUUUUACAAACCAUAUAUUUCAGUUUUUUUUAAAUUAAAACCGGUCCGAACAGAACGGUUCGGAUCGGUUCGGUUUGGUUUUCUCUAGUGCACGGUUUUUUUACCCACCCCUAUUUGUUAGUUAAAGUCUUUCUAACCUAGACUUCGCAUGAUGGAGUUCUAACACUAGUUUGAAGUUCACCGGAGUAGUGAUGUUAUGCUGCCGAGACUAUUUGACUUUGUAAUAUCAUAAGGGACAUAUGCUAAUAUAACCUAAGUACUAUUGAGAAAAUGGCAAAUAUGUUUUAAGGACAUUGGAACUGCACAUGCCUUAGUUUAAUUUAUGUUCUUAUCUUUCUUAUUAAUACAUGGUAGAGAAAUUAUCUUUGCACCACCCCUGUUUUGUCAUAUGUACAUCCAACCACAACAAAAAUUUAAUAUGUUCUUUGCACUACCUUUAUUUCGAAACUUGUAUUAAUCAACUACAUUGACACUAAGAAUUUAAAUAAAAUGGCCAUUUUACCCUAAAUGACUUUAAAAGACCAUUUUAUCCCAAAAAUUUUUAAAUAAAAAAUUAUAAUUACCAUUUAAUUAAUUGAUAAAUAUUAUUGAAAAAAUCAAUGUGUGAGUACUAUUUAAUUAAUUGAUAAAAUAUUGUUGAUUUUUUCAAUUCUUUUGACCUAAAAAACGUGUAAUGCUCAUCUAAAAUAUUUUCCUUUUUUUUAUCAAUCCUAAAAUUGUAAUUCUCAAACAAUUUUCAUUUUUUUUAAUUAAUCACCAAAAUAAUAAUAAUCUAAAUCAAUUUUGAAUAAUAAAAAAUUAUAAAGUACAAAACAAAUUGCGUAAAAAUUAUAAUUAUAAAAAUUAACAACAUAGAUUUUGAGAUUUAUAUUUUCUACUAAAAUGAGAGGUAUUCUUGUACCAUUUUAUUUAACUUCUUGGUGUCAAAGUGGCUGAUUGAUAGAAGUUUAGAAAUAAAGUGGUCAAAGAACAUGUCAAAAAUUUGUUGUAUUUAGAUAUACAUGUGGCAAAAUAGAGGUGGUACAUAGUAAUUUCCCUAUGUGCUAUUAAAAUAUAUUAACGUUAUUUCAAAAUUUUGUUACUAUAAACUAAUGACAAGAGUGUAGCAUGCUUACAAGUAAACUUACGCAGUCUAGAAAGAUUCUAUAAAAAAAGUACUGCCUAAUACAUCCAGGUUUUAAGUAAGGUAAUUUGUGACCCUUCUGGUCUUUUCGAAGAACUCAACUAGUAUACUUUUCAUACAUUAUGGAUUGUUUUAUGUCACUUACGAAUAAUAAUUUUGUAGCAUAUACUUCCAAACCUUACCAUUAUAUAGCUUAAAGUCCAUAGGAAUUUGGAAUCCAAAUCACUUACAACAAUUUGUGCAAGGUGAUAGUGAUAUGGAGAGCAUAUAUAAAUAAAGACAAGUCAGCCGAAAUGAAGGUGUCUUCACCUUAACUAGGGUCUUCACUUUCUAGGCACUUCAGGGGUGGCCACUGGCCUCAUUGGUUUUAUGUACCUAAACUUCAUAUGGACAUUACAACUGCACAUGCCUCAAUUUAAUUUAUGUUCUUCUCUUUCUUAUUGAUCUAUACUAGAGAAAUUAUCUCUACACCAACUCUGUUUUAUCAUAUGUAUCUCCAGCCACCACAAAAUUUUAACAUGUUCUUUGCACCACCAUCAUUUCUAAACUUGUAUUAAUCGACUAAUUUGACAGUAAUAAUUUAAAUAAAAUGACCAUUUUACCCCUAAGUGAUCUAAAAGACCAUUUUAUCCCACUAAAUUUUUAAAUAAGAAACUAUGAUUACCAUUUAAUUAAUUGAUAAAAUAUUAUUGAAAAAUUCAAUCUGCGAGUACUAUUUAAUUAAUUGAUAAAAUAUUAUCGACUUUUUCAAUUCUUUUGACCUAAAAAAUGUGUAAUUUUCAUCUCAAAUAUUUCCUUUUUUUAUCGAUCGUAUAGUCACAAUUAUCAAACAAUUUUCAUUGUUUAAAGGGUUAUUAUCAUUUCACUACUUCAAAAAUUGUCAAAUAUCAAAUGACUAUAAUAAGUAUUGUCUCAUAUCAUUUUUCUACUAUAUAUUUAUAAAAAUAUUAUUUUACUACUUUUCCGUUAUAACCAUUAGUUGACUAGUUAGUUGACUAACAAAAAACCAAUUUCACCCUUCAUGAUAAAAAAAAAAAACUUGAAGCUUAUUUACAAAGAAAUUUGUAAUAUAUUUAUUAAAAUGGAUAUAAAAUAUCAACCUAAUUCUUUUUGCUAGAAUUAUGAUGUAUGGAUUACAAAUUUGUCUUAUUAUAUUUUUAAUCAUGAAGGGUAAAAUUGGUAUUUUGUUAGUCAACUAACUGGUCAAUUAACGGGUCAACUAACUGUUGCAACAGAAAAGUAGUAAAAUGAUUUUUUUAUAAAGAUAUAGUAGGAAGAUAAUAGGAGACACUACUUGUUGUAGUCAUUUGAUAUUUGGUAAUUUUUGAAGUAGUGAAAUGAUAAUAACCCUUGUUCAAAUUAAUCACCAAAUUAACAAUAGUGUGAAACAAUUUUGAAUAAUAAAAAAUUAUAAAUUACAAAAUAUAUCGAGUAAAAAUUAUAAUUAUAAAAUUAACAUCUUAGAUUUUGAGUUUUUUCUAUUAAAAUCAGAGGUAUUCUUGUAAUUAUAAUUUUUUAUUUUAAAAAAUUUGGUAGGAUAAAAUAGUCUUUCAUUUUAUUUAAGGAUAAAAUGGUCAUUUUAUUUAAAUUCUUAGUGUCAAAGUAGUUGAUUGAAAGAAUUUUAGAAACAAAUUAGUGAAAGAACAAGUUAAAAAUUUGUUGUAGUUUGAUAUAUGUAUGACAAAACAGUGGUGGUGCAUAUAUAAUUUCGCUUCGUACGAUUGUAAUAUAUUAACGUUAUUAAAAGUUUGUUACAAUAAACUCAUGACAAGUAUGUAGCUAGCUUACUAGUAAACUUAUGCAUUGCUAUAAAGAUUCUAAAGCAAAAGUAAUGCCUGAAAAAUCUAGAUUUUAAGUUUGGCCAUUUGUGACCCUUUUAGUCUUUUCUAAGAACUCAACUGGUAUAUUUUUUCAUACACUAUGGAUUGUUUUAUGUCCCUUAUUAGUAAUAAUUUUUAACAUAUAUUUCCAAACUUUACCAUUAGAUAGCUUGAAGUUCAUUGGACUUUGGAAUCAUAUCAUUUACAACAAUCUUUACAAGGUGAUAAUGAUACAGAGAGCAUAUAUAAAUUUAAGUCAGCCGAUAUGAAGGCUCCUUCAACUUAACUGGGGUCUUCACUUUUAAGGCACUACAGGGGUGGCUAUUGCCCUCAUUGCUUAUGUACCUUAACUUCAUAUAGAUUUUUACUUUUUUCCAUCCCCUUUUUGGAGCACAAGUAGAUUUUUGAUUAAUGCCAAACACAUAAGAAUAUGGUCAGAUGCCUAGAUUAUGGAAAAAUAAUGACGUUUAAAUGGACACAUCAGACUACUGAUGUAUUAACAAUAUAUUGAAAUCCAAUAUUUAGCUACCAACAAGCACAUAUUAUAUAAAAACAAUUAAACAUGCAAACAAACAUAAAAUGAAAUAAUUAAAUAAAACGACAGAGCACAUGUUUUGGAAAAGUUUAUUCCUCAAUCCACCACAAAUUAAAAAGAAGUAAGUCACUGUUAUUCUAAGUAAACAUACAUAACCAAUCACUGACUUAAGAAUAAUUUUUCAAUUCGGGAAUCUUGAAUUUUUCAUAAAAUAAUCAGUUUACAAUAUUAUAAGUAUGUGAGAAGAAAAGUUUAUCUUGUAUGAGUGCUUUUUGAAUUACUGAUCAAUUGUAGUGAAAUCAAAACUAUGUUUUAAUAAAAAAAAGAAAUUAAUCCAUUUUGAGCACAUAAUGUAAUGUCAUAUGUUUUUUGUGUGUGUAUCUCCUACUGAUUCGUUGUAUACAUAUCGUUGAAUCAAUAUUCGAGAAAGCUGUUUGUUUAAAUAAUAAUAAUGGUCAGGCGAUCACAAUAAGUAUAUUAGUAAUGUUUGUACUAUUUAAAUUUUAAGUCUAUCCACUCUUAGGGUUGGUUGUUGCAACCUAAGGAAAAAAAAUAAAAUAAACCUUAAUUUUAUCGAUAUCUUAUAUUACUUAACUGUAUGAUUUAAUUUCAUGUUAAACUUUAAUCUGCCCUCUGGGAAUCUUCAACUUACCUUCAUUUUGGCUACCAACAAGCACAUAUUAUAUAAAAAUGAUAAAACGUGCAAACUAACAUAAAAUGAAAUACUAAAACUAAACGAUAGAGCACAUGUUUUGAAAAAGUUUCUUCUUCAAUACACCACCAAUUAAACAGAAGUAAGCCACUGUCAUUUUAAGUUAAAAAACAUAACAAAACCAUCUAUUAAAAAACAUAACAAAACCACCUACUUAGGAAUUAUUUUUCAAUUUGGAAAUCUUGAACUUUUCAUUAAAAAGAAAUUAGUUUACAAUAUUAUAAGUACGUGAAAAAGAAAGUUUAUAGCAUUGUAAAUUAGAUCACGAACAAGAAUCUGACUCCACCUACAUGGUUUAGUGAACAAUUAUAACAUUGUAUCCAACAAUGGCAUCACCAUAUUUAAAAUUCGCCCGAUGCAUCUGAGCAGUUGCAUAUCCACUAGUCAACAGGAACAUGCCAGUGUCGCCGACAAUAGGCAUCUUACGGAUAGGAACAAUCGACUUGUUGUUGCCAAGGAGGCUGAUACAGUUGCCAUUAUUAGGACCAUCAACGAACACAAAGCUCAUGGACAUGAUGAUACUUAGUUAAUGCUGACAAGCCGACCCAUAAAGCCCUUGAGUACGACCAACAAGCUUUGAUUGAGGGUUUGUAGUUUCUAUCAACGAAUCAUCCGCCAUCAUCACAAUGCCGAAAUGAGUUGGUGACUUGUAAGUAUCAGUGGCUUGAGCAAUCCUUUUUGCCCCUACGUUUUUUUUGUUGUCACUUUUGCGGAAUCAAGCCUGUAGCCCAAGUCUCUCUGACUGUAUUGCUGCUUUCGCCACCAUGCUAAUGAUGAGCAGCAAAACAACUGCUUAAACAUUGUAGUAGCUUUAAAACAAGGCGUGAAAUUAAAAGGAACGUAAUAGAUGAUGCACUUUUGAAGGUAGAAAAGGUUCGUUUCAAGUGUUUUCGAAGUGUUGUGAUUAAUAAAUUUCGAAAGACUGCUUAACUACAAAGGGGAGGUGGGAAGAAAUUUUGGCAUUUUGUUAUAUUGAGCUAGCCAACAAAUGUGUAUGAGGGGCUUCACUUGUACACAUAAAGAGCGAAGAUUAAUUAAUGUUUGGUCCAUCUCAUUUGGGGCCCCAAAAGCCCAAAGUUUAAUAAGUUUGGGCAAUUAAGUAAUUAAAAAAAAGUGGAAGUGGAGGCGGCAGUAACUUUUUGGUGGAAGAAAAAGGCGAGAGAGAAAGGAAGAGACAGUAGAGUUGAGACUAUUCGGGACAAGAUUUUUAAUCUUUAAUUGGGCGAAAUUAACUUUGUUUUCUCCCAACUUUUGAUGGUAAGUUCCUAGCAUCGCCCUCUACAAUCCUACAGAUCUUGAUUUUUGGUUAUUAUUUGAGAUACCCACUUAUUAGAGAGAUAGUUAUUAGGCUAUUAUUGUAAGCCAAGAGUAUUGAGAUUCUUGAUGUUAGUAGCCUCUAGCAUUAUUUAUAGAAGAAUGUGCUGUAAUUUGUGGAAGAUUCUAUCACACUACAGUCCCGUGGCUUUUCCCGUUUUGGGUUUUUCACUAAAAAUCUGUCUCUUGUGGUUGGUUUUUGCUUUGGAUUUAUUGGUUUUUUUUCCUACUUAUUUAUGGUACACGUCUUAUUUUACUCACACAAAGAGGGAAAUAAUUUGUUUUCGCUUAAUUUAUAACUAGUUGUGGUAGUCGCUUUCCCAAUAGAGUGGUAUCAGAGCGUUAGGUUUUGUUUUUUU